Molecule: long non-coding RNA, 84780 nt
Filed under: Triticum aestivum (bread wheat)
Lineage: Eukaryota; Viridiplantae; Streptophyta; Magnoliopsida; Poales; Poaceae
Description: long non-coding RNA (TAES_LNC022381)
Rfam family: MIR1120/MIR1122 microRNA precursor family (bases 46476-46562)
Source: RNAcentral
CUAUUCCUGCGUUAGGUCACCCCUAGCACAACGUAUUGCUGCGUCUUGCUUUGUGUUACAUUUGAUUGCUCUGUUAUUUAUAGUGUUCCCCCUCCGUUACUUCUUUUCGGUUGGCUCCGAGACCGUUGCCGAUACCCCUGUGAUCGACUACAUCGACGACGACCCCUUCUUCUUGCUAGAGCAACCAGGCAAGCCCCCCCCCCUUGAUCACCAGAUAUCGCAUAUUCUCUUCUACACUGCUUGAAUUAGAGUAGUAUAGCAUGUUACUGCUUUCUGUUUAUCCUAUCCUGAUGCAUAGCCUGCCCUUGUUACUACUGUUGUUACCUUUACCUGCUAUCCUACAUGCUUAGUUUAUGAUGCUAGUAUUCCAUCUAUGGCCCUACAUUCUUGUCCGUCUGCUGUGCUAUACUAUCGGGCCGUGAUCACUCGGGUGGUGAUCACGGGUAUAUACUAUAUACUUAUACAUGACACAUGUGGUGACUAAAGUCGGGUCCGCUCGUUGAGUACCCGCAAGUGAUUCUGAUGAGGGGGCUGAAAGGACAGGUGGCUCCAUCCCGGUAGAGGUGGGCCUGGGUUCCCGACGGCCCUCGACGGUUACUUUGAGGCGGAGCGACAGGGCAGGUUGAGACCACCUAGGAGAGAGGUGGGCCUGGCCCUGGUCGGCAUUCGCAAAUACUUAACACGUUUAAUGAGAUCUUGAUAUUUGACCUGAGUCUGGCUACUGGCCUAUACGCACUAACCAUCUACGCGGGGACAGUUAUGGGCACUCGACGUCGUGGUAUCAGCCGAAGCCUUCGUGGCGUCAGCGACUGAGCGGCGCGAGCCGGGUUGGACCGCGUAACGUGACUUCCUUUGUAAUGGAGGUUGCUAGGUCUGCUCUCCGGCCGCGUACGCAAUGUGCAGGUGUGCUAUGGGCAAUGGGCCCAGAUCCCUGUGCGCUUAGGUUUAGACCGGCGUGCUGGCCUCUCUGUUGUGCCUAGGUGGGGCUGCGACGUGUUGAUCUUCCGAGGCCGGGCAUGACCCAGGAAAGUGUGUCCGGCCAAAUGGGAUCGAGCGUGUUGGGUUAUGUGGUGCACCCCUGCAGGGAAGUUAAUCUAUUCGAAUAGCCGUGAUCUUCGGUAACAUGACGACUUGGAGUUGUACCUUGACCUUAUGACAACUAGAACUGGAUACUUAAUAAAACACACCCUUCCAAGUGCCAGAUACAACCGAUGAUCGCUCUCUCACAGGGCGACGAGGGGAGGAUCAUCGGUUAGGAUUAUGCUAUACGAUGCUACUUGGAGGUCUUUAGUCUACUCUCUUCUACAUGCUGCAAGACGAGGCUGCCAGAAGCGUAGUCUUCGAAAGGACUAGCUAUCCCCCUUAUCCCGGCUUUCUGCAGUUCAGUCCACAUAUAAUAGCCUUAUUCCAGUUGAUACCUGAUAUGACCAACACCAAAUUUAUUUGUAUCAACGACCACCACGAUGUAGAAGACGUUGGUCUAUGUCAAGUUAUGGCAGCUUCACUUGAUAACAGGAUGCAUCCUAAUCAGGAGAAUAUUAAGGUUCAACCAGAGUCAACGGUUGGUGUUGUGCCAAAAUAUGGGAUGCACGCUAUGGAAGGGAAGAACUCCUUCACAUGCACGUUUGAAGGUUUGCAACAACUUGAUUGUUUGUUUAUGUUGUCACGUGCAGAGCAAGACCCAGCUGUAUGUGUACGAGAGAUAUAUUUUAUUGAGACUAAGCAAAGAAUCCUAAUCAGCUACUACUUCUCCCGAUCAAGACCGCCAGAGCAAGCGUACGCCAGCAUGUUUGAUCGGUGGAAAUUGCUUUCCUUGAGAGACAUUGGAUGGGGGCCACCCAAUAAUUUGUAUUUAAUAAUUUUAGUAUUUAAUGUGUAAUGAAUACCUGCUAAAAUAAAGCACGUAAUCAGAUUUGGUUUUAGUUGUUGGGUCGAUAGUUAGAGACAGGGAGAAUAUUUUGUACGGUCAACUUAUUAGGCAAGUUAGAGCUGGAUAGCUAUUCUACUAUAUAUAGUCUUGAUACGGUCAUUGUAAGAGGAGGUUAUAUUUUUAUGAAAUAGACACGAUGUGUUUUUCAGGGUAGACACCCGUAUCAAGUUUUGGAGGGACCUUUAGAAAACCUCUGUGUUGCGAUUUCUCUUCGUGGAAAUUGUUUUGCGCGUGAGUACCUUCGUCAAGAUUGGUUUUCUCGUGCUGGGCCGCAAGGUUCAAACCCUCUACUUCGUGUACAUCGCGUGCGCGGGCAAGAGGUUGCUACUGCUGGUGGUGGAGUGUCGUGAAAGGUCGGGCCGCAACAACGGAUCGGAUCUCGCCAAUGAGGUUCGGUCUUAUAUCAGGUGGUAUUCAGAGCAUCAGGUUGUUCACGGCACUAUGGAGAAGAUGGCGAGCGCGUCGUUAUUCAGUAAGUUAAGCUAUGAAUUUCAGUUGGAGGAGGAAGGCCGUUGGACUGGUCUUUUUCACACCCGUGUGGUGGUGAGAGAGAGAUCAUGUGCCAUGACCAUUGAUCACAAGAAUUUGAUCAACGCCGCAAGCAUCGAGAUGGUGGAGAAGUUGGAUCUACCGAUUGCACCAAGAGCACAACCGUACUUGUUUCGUUGGGGUCAUGAAGAGCUCACUGUGACGCACCAAACCAAGGUGCCGUUUUUGUUGGGAAAUUAUUUUUGCGAGGUUUUAUGCGACGUGAUUCCGACAACUAUGAUUUCAUGUCACUUGUUAUUGGGCGAGCCAUGGUAUAAAGAGCAUGAUGUUACGUAUGAUUGCAAAACACAUAGAUAUACUAUCAAGAAGGGUAAGAAGUGUAGCCUCGUGCCAAUGGGUGAGAAGCGUUUUAUUUCUUGGAGGAAAGAACAUCUUGAGAAGAUAAAAGAGCAGGAAGAAGAAGAGAAGAAGGUCGAAGUUGCUGAAAUUUUUGCGGUUGUUAUUCAAUCAAGUGAGGAAGAGGUCAACUCAAAACCGAAGACGGUUUCGAUGCAAGGAGGAGAGGAUGAUAUGACCAACACCAAAUUUAUUUGUAUCAACGACCACCACGAUGUAGAAGACGUUGGUCUAUGUCAAGUUAUGGCAGCUUCACUUGAUAACAGGAUGCAUCCUAAUCAGGAGAAUAUUAAGGUUCAACCAGAGUCAACGGUUGGUGUUGUGCCAAAAUAUGGGAUGCACGCUAUGGAAGGGAAGAACUCCUUCACAUGCACGUUUGAAGGUUUGCAACAACUUGAUUGUUUGUUUAUGUUGUCACGUGCAGAGCAAGACCCAGCUGUAUGUGUACGAGAGAUAUAUUUUAUUGAGACUAAGCAAAGAAUCCUAAUCAGCUACUACUUCUCCCGAUCAAGACCGCCAGAGCAAGCGUACGCCAGCAUGUUUGAUCGGUGGAAAUUGCUUUCCUUGAGAGACAUUGGAUGGGGGCCACCCAAUAAUUUGUAUUUAAUAAUUUUAGUAUUUAAUGUGUAAUGAAUACCUGCUAAAAUAAAGCACGUAAUCAGAUUUGGUUUUAGUUGUUGGGUCGAUAGUUAGAGACAGGGAGAAUAUUUUGUACGGUCAACUUAUUAGGCAAGUUAGAGCUGGAUAGCUAUUCUACUAUAUAUAGUCUUGAUACGGUCAUUGUAAGAGGAGGUUAUAUUUUUAUGAAAUAGACACGAUGUGUUUUUCAGGGUAGACACCCGUAUCAAGUUUUGGAGGGACCUUUAGAAAACCUCUGUGUUGCGAUUUCUCUUCGUGGAAAUUGUUUUGCGCGUGAGUACCUUCGUCAAGAUUGGUUUUCUCGUGCUGGGCCGCAAGGUUCAAACCCUCUACUUCGUGUACAUCGCGUGCGCGGGCAAGAGGUUGCUACUGCUGGUGGUGGAGUGUCGUGAAAGGUCGGGCCGCAACAACGGAUCGGAUCUCGCCAACGAGGUUCGGUCUUAUAUCAAUACCUAUGCAUACAUAUGUAGUGUAGCUCCUUGCUUGCGAGUACUUUGGAUGAGUACUCACGGUUGCUUUCUCCCUCUUUUCCCCCUAUCCCUUCUACCUGGUUGUCACAACCAAAUGUUGGAGCCCAGGAGCCAGACGCCACCUUCAACAACGACUCCUACUACACCAGAGGUGCCUACUACUACGUGCUGCCCGCUGAUGACGACCAGGAGUAGUUAGGAGGAUCCCAGGCAGGAGGCUUGCGCCUCUUUCGAUUUGUAUCCCAGUUUGUGCUAGCCAUCUUAUGGCAACUUGUUUAACUUAUGUCUGUACUAAGAUAUUGUUGCUUCCGCUGACUCAUCUUUGAUCGAGUUCUUGUAUUCGAGCCUUCGAGGCCCCUGGCUUGUAAUAUAAAGCUUGUAUUAUUUUAAUUUGUGUCUAGAGUUGUGUUGUGAUAUCUUCCAGUGAGUCCUUGAUCUUGAUCGUACACAUUUGUGUGUAUGAUUAGUGUACGGUCAAAUCGGGGGCGUCACAAGUUGGUAUCAGAGCCGACUGCCUGUAGGAAUUCCCCUUCCGCACUCCUUGGCCGAAGUUGAGUCUAGUCAUUACAAAACUUUUACUAACAUGGUUGUGUGCCUUACGGGCCUAUGUCGCCAUUGGGUGGUAUUAGGAUCUUUUAUUCCUCGUCUAUACUCUGGGAUUCUGACUCUCUCCUACUCUGGUUAAAUGAUUUUGCUAAAAUCUAACUCUAGGUUCUCGUUACCACUUCCUGCCGAAGAGCCCCUUCAUUACAGAUGAUCGACUGCUUCAACAGAAGAUUAUGACAAUACUCUCUGAUGUUCUGUCGAAACCUUAUGCCAUUGCUUUUGCAAUUCCCUACCACCGAAAUAUCCCUAUGGAUAAGUAUUUAGACCCAUCGUGCUUACUUUUAUUCCCAGUCGAUCUUGUUAUUAUAAGAUACCCUGAGAAUACUUUGUGCCUACUGCCUUGCAGUUCUUUGCCACAUGCAUACCACUACGGAUAAUUUCUCGCAUUUAUCGAGUAUCCGCUCAUCCCCAGAUAUUCAUGCCGUUCACAAAAUUCUUUGAAAUACCUUUCGGUCUUCCGAAAAUCCUGAGCAACCUAUUGCUCCUGAAAUUCUUGCUUGCUUGCAUUAUGGUUAAUCCCAUAAGUAUAGUAAUCUUAUUGGCAACGUUUGUCAAUAUCAUUUUGAGUCCAUUGAUUCAAUAUGUUGCGAAUGCUCACAAUCCUCACUCAGAUCAUAGAAUUCAUCCUUCCGGCUCAGAUGUCAUUUAAAACGUGAGCUGGUCCUCGGCCAAUCAGAUUGCCAUCGAUUGUACCCCUAAGUCUAUUCAACUUGUCCGUCCUUGAUCAGAGCGUUUGCUCCUGAUCCCUUGAUUUGAAAAUCAUAAUUCCUUUGUUAUUUAAAUGUUGAGUUAUUCAGAUGUUCUGUAAAACGAUGAAUUUGCAUUCUUUCUUCCUCUGAUUGGGUAUCGAUACUCACAUCAGCUCCAUUGUGGAUCACCAUAUCCACUGUUGGAUUAUUAUCCGACAAUGUCCUUCAUAAUUAAUCACCUUGUGAGUUCUUUCUCCGAUACAUAAUGUCUUUGGUAAUUUGUAUCCUCUCCUUUUGCCAACCAUGCUCUGCUUUCGAGCUGGUAAUAUUUACUCUCAAAGCUUGUGGUAUAUGUUUCCACGAUAGCCUGACGGGUUGAACCUAUGCCUUCCUUAAUUUGUGUGACCUCGAAAGUUAUGCGGGUUAUACCCUGCUGACGCUUCGUCAGAUAACUUUUCAACACUACAACUUCGAAAAGGGGAGGUAAAUGUAAGGUUAUGCAUUGAAGAAGUGGGAGUCGACCUUGAACUUUGUGUUCAUGCCCAUGAACACGAUGUAGAUCUUAUCAUUAAAGCUUCUCUUAAAUUAAUUACUCCCUUGGUAUAAGUUCAUAUUAUAUCUGGGAUCUGGCCUUUUUCAAUCGUGGUUUCGACCAUGUUCUCUUUUAGGUACCAUUUCUCGUGCAAGUUUAAGCACUUGUCUUCUGCAGAGCAAUACCCCAGUCCAACCUCUACUUUGAUCUGUCGUCGAGUAUUACCCCCUGGUAUCUCAAGGAUACCACGGGAUACAUAACUUCUUAUGAGUUCUUCAUCAACUAAUAUUCUUGCCAAUUCCAUUUUUCCAACGAGUUAUCAGUUGUUAGAACCCCUCAAGGACACCGACAACUGAAUUGAGUCCGCACUACGAUUCAACAACUCUUGGUAACCUUCAUUACUUAUGAGUCUGAACUCGAUCACGUCAUUCCGAGCCUACUCGGCUAUAUCAUUAUCGUGCCAAAUUUUAACUGUGCUACCUGGUCCUUCUUUCCGGAGCACAAUUUCGACGAUGGGCUAAGCUUACGUCGAUCUUCCUUGUCUUAUCGUUUCACCUCAAACAACAAACUUGAUUUCAAGUUUGUGUCAUACCCAUGGUUCCAAUAACCUUUCGCUUCAUCAUUCGUUUGACUUGAUGUCAUCGCCGACCGAUUACAUCUCCAUGAAACCUCUCGACAGAAAUUGUCAUGAUCAUCAUCAACAUUUCGAGCUCCUCAAGGAUAUCAAUUGAAUUCCUGAUGAGAAAUACCAUCCUUGCCCUCGAUGAUUUGUGUUAUCAUCGACCACUCGAUUGCCUUCCGUUCAACACAAACUUGUUCGUGUUUUGUGUUAUACCUUGAGACCCUUGCUAUCCAACAUUUGUUCUCCUUUACCUUGGAGUAUUACCAUCUUUUAUGUCAAGAAUGUUGUGAGAAUUUCACCACCUCUUAAGAAUUCUUGGUAUCGUGAUACUUCUCACCAUCACCAUUCUUUCUUGGUCCUCGUGUUGAUUCCAACCGGGGUACCAACAAGUGAACGGUGUUGUUUGGAUUCUGCACUUCUAGCAACGCUAUUGCUUUGAAGUUAAUGGUCGGUCGUUCGUUCUUAGACUAUUGAUUAUUGAAUCACCAUUCUGACAUUGGUAGUGCAACCCAACCCAUAUUUGGGGCGCACAUUUUAACCAAUGUUUAAUUGUGUAUAUUUUCCUUGAGCAUACAUCAUUAUAUCAUUUGAUCCGAUAAAUGUUAUCUCCUUGUUCACAUAACUAUGGAAAUCCAUCUUUUUGGAUACCCCGUUGAAUUAUCGCUAAGUCCAUCAGCCACCUCCUCAUCCUCUCCUUGGCUUAAUGAUGAAUCCCUUCGUGUAUCCAGAGUCUGACCUUUGCUUGAAGACCAUGGCAAUGCUACCUCGAAGCAUGUCUGUGGUACUCCGAUUUUCAAUAAGAGCAUCUGAAGAACAAUGCUAAAUUUUCUCUGUCCAUUAUCCAAAUACUAUUGUUUGGGCUAUGUCAUGAAAUCCUCUCCCCUUACCUAAAUGGUUUUCUACUUACUAUCCUGUCAUGGAUAUCAUGCUCUGCUUAUCCUUGGAAAGGAUAUACCCCUGAAAUAUAUGUUUAAACACAUUUUCCUUUCCAUUGUUUUCUUUAACCUUUCUUGCGAUCAAUAUGAUCUAAGCAGUAACAAUUCCCUGCUUAUGUAACCAACUCGGUGCACAAUUCUGUCAGAAAGACCCUGUUGCUUUUGUCGAUGACAUUCCGGUAACCACCGACGGACGAGAACUUUGCCUACUAGUCCGCCUCGUUCAACGAGCAGGAAAAUGGUUCUCUUCGUCCCUCGCCCUUGGUACCGAUGUUGUUGCCGACAUAACCGACAAACUACCUCUGACAUGCCUUGCUUACAUAAUCGUGCAAGAUGUCACCGCCCUUCCUACUUUUAACCCACAUGGUGGGCCCAUAACCCACAGUUCCACAGGAUCAAAACCUGGCUCUCAUGUACACCCCCUGUUCCCAAAGUUAUUCCUCGCGCGUGGCCUCAUAAGUAAUUCACGAACCACCUCCCGAGAGAUCAUCAAUUCUGGUACCAGACACAAUACUUAUUCCGUUGAUCUCAACCCCUUUCAUGCCCUAAUGCAGACCCGUUCUUACAGGAUACACCCCUUAUUCUUUUGUAAGUAUGAUGGAGUUCCCGAAGAAAGGAUACCGACUUCAUCAUGAUGACCUGAAAUAGAGAAUUGACGACAUCAACGAAAGGGAUUAACUUCUUCGAGAAGAGUAGCCAAGACCGAGAAGAUCUGUUAGCAUUUCCUAACCAGACUUUCCCCCCUACUCUACCUCUUAAAUCUCGGGACGAGAUUUCUUGUAGUGGAGGAGAAUUGUGACGCCCGGAUAAUUAAGCUACAGUGAACCUCCGCUAAUGAUAAUGCGUCACCUCGGUUACUGUUGAUAAACUCGCGUCAGUUUAAAUUUCAAAUUUAAAAUAAACUCAAACAAUAAAAGUUUUCAAAUAUUAAAACUAAAUGUUCGGGUGGAGACAAAUGAUGCAUAGGUAAUUAUGGUGGAGAAACCACACUUUUAUAAGAUUUUUAAAUAAUCUAAAAUGAAUAAAAUAGUAGCUAAAACAAUUAAAUAAAUGCCUUUUGAAUUUUAUAAAAUACUAAACUAUUUUGUUCAGGGAUAAAACUUUUUGUGACAGUAGUUGGAAUUGUAACUUUAAUUUAGGUGUGGGUUUUACUUUUGUAAAAUUAUAAACUAUUAAAGAAAUAAAAGAAAACAGAAAACAAAGGUAAGAAUAAAACAAAACAAAAGAAACCAAGCCCCCUUCCCCCUGGGCCGUUCGGCCCAACCGGGCAUCCAGGCCACCAGGCCCAGCCCACCAGCUCCCCAUCUUCAACCCCUGUUCAUCAGGGGAGUGCUGGCCGUUGCUCGUGCGUCCAUGGACGGAUCGUCCACGCGCCGUGCAUCCAUGGCUCCUGGACGGUCUAUUAGAUCCCCCUCGACGCGUUGACGAACCCUAGCUCUCCUUUUCCCCUCCCCUGUGCCGCUUUCGUCCCCGCAACCCUUGGCCGAACCUGCAUCGCCAUGGCCUCCGACAUCCACGCGCCCACCGAGCUCCCCGCGCCCAGACACCUCGUCCGCGAGCUUCACCGACGUCCACUCCUUCGACUACGUCCACCAGUUGGAGCCGGGAGCCCGUGGAUCGCAGGGAUCGACGUCGUCUUCAACCUCCAACCACCGUGACGCCAUCGACGAAUUCGUCGCCGUCGCUCCACCCCGGCCUUCUCGAUCUCGCCUACGACACCGCGGUGAGGUCCUCACUCGAUUCCCGGUCUUCCCUGCUCGACCCAUGCCUAUAGCCGUCGUUCCCCACAGAACUUUGGCCGCCGUUAGUCCUCAUGGCCUCUUGCUUCGACCACCUCCACUGCUGCGCUACUGCUGCUACUGUCGCGCAGGCUCGUUCGCUACUACAGCCUGCGCUCCCGCGCGUGCCCACCCAUGGCCUCGCCUCCGCCUACCGCCGCUCACCCGCUGACGUGCGUCCGCCUCGCCUGACCGCGUCGGCCGUGGCCGCCAUCACCGUCCACGCGCGCGACACCGCGCCUGGCGCUGUUCGUUCGCACCGGCCACGCCCCCAGGCUCCCCUGCCCGCGCUGCCCUGUCACCCGCACCUGCCAGCCUCUCCCAUCCGCCUGGCCAUGCUCGCCCGCGCCGCUCGAGCUUCCUGCACGCGCGCUCGCCGACGCUGCCGCCGCCCCUGCUGGUCCUGCGCGCGCCCGCUGGAACCCUUGCCGCCGCCUCCGCCUGCAGCUAGCUCCGGCAACGCGGCCCGGGCCGCAUCCGGCCGUGCGCGGCGUUGCCUGGCCGUCUCCGCGCCAUGUCGAUAACUGCUGCUGCUCUGAACGUACUGCUGCUGCUGAAUGCUACUGUAACUAUGGCUAGCUUUGCGAAUAUUAGGCUAACUAACCCCCUUGACAGCCUCUAAUCAGCGGGUAAACAAUUACUAAUAGGCCAAGAAAAAUUAUGAGUAGAAAGUAUACUUGACAAACUUCAUUUUAUCCCAUUGGACCAAAUCCUUUCGAUGAACGGAUUAAAUCGUACGAAAAUCACAAAAGGCUAUCUUCUAUUAACAAAGAACAUAAUUAACCCCUAGUUGUGUGUGCGCGUGUGUGUUCUGUGUUUGUGAGGCCGGCCCCAUGUUCAAUUAGUUUAGGGUUAAUUAGUAUGUAGGUUAGCUACUAGCAGAUGACAUGUGGACCCCAUUAAUUAGGUUAGUAUUUAUUUAUUUGUUUAGGUAUAGCCUAUGACAUGUGGGAUCCACUUCUACUAUUCAUGUGUUGACCAGUCAAAUGUUGACUGGUUCAACCCAGCCCCACUGGCCCCACUUGCCACACAAUAGACUAGGAAACCCAUGGGUACACUUAGUAUAUUCUGUUUUAAUUUCGAAAUAUAAUUAAAUCCAGAAAUUUUAGAAAAUCAUUUAAACUUCGGAAAAUCAUAUAAAAUAAUCCGUAAUUCGGAUGAAAAUACUUUAUACAUGAAAGUUGCCCAGAACGAUGAGACGGAUCCGAAUACACAGUCCGUUGAUCAGCCACACGUCCCUAGAAUAGCGAACAUGCAACUCUCACUGUCCAGUCCGUCUAUCCAAAAACGUGAAACAUGGGUAAUACUUUCCCGGAUGUUUCCCCCCUUCGUCGGUAUCACCUAUUCCUGCGUUAGGUCACCCCUAGCACAACGUAUUGCCGCGUCUUACUUUGUGUUACAUUUGAUUGCUCUGUUAUUUAUAGUGUUCCCCCUCCGUUACUUCUUUCCGGUAGGCUCUGAGACCAUUGCUGAUACCCCUGUGAUCGACUACAUCGACGACGACCCCUUCUUCUUGCUAGAGCAACCAGGCAAGCCCCCCUCUUGAUCACCAGAUAUCGCCUAUUCUCUUCUACACUGCUUGCAUUAGAGUAGUAUAGCAUGUUACUGCUUUCUGUUUAUCCUAUCCUGAUGCAUAGCCUGUCCUUGUUACUACUGUUGUUACCUUUACCUGCCAUCCUACAUGCUUAGUUUAGGAUGCUAGUAUUCCAUCUGUGGCCCUACAUUCUUGUCUGUCUGCUGUGCUAUACUAUCGGGCCGUGAUCACUUGGGAGGUGAUCGCGGGUAUAUACUAUAUACUUAUACAUGACACAUGUGGUGACUAAAGUUGGGUCCGCUCAUUGAGUACCCGCAAGUGAUUCUGAUGAGGGGGCUGAAAGGACAGGUGGCUCCAUCCCGGUAGAGGUGGGUAUGGGUUCCCGAUGGCCCCCGACUGUUACUUUGAGGCGGAGCGACAGGGCAGGUUGAGACCACCUAGGAGAGAGGUGGGCCUGGCCCUGGUCGGCAUUCGCAAAUACUUAACACGUUUAACGAGAUCUUGGUAUUUGAUCUGAGUCUGGCUACUGGCCUAUACGCACUAACCAUCUACGCGGGUACAGUUAUGGGCACUCGACAUCGUGGUAUCAGCCGAAGCCUUCGUGACGUCAGCGACUGAGCGGCGCGCGCCGGGUUGGACCGCGUAACGUGACUUCCUUUGUAAUGGAGGUUGCUAGGUCUGCUCUCCGGCCGCGUACGCAACGUGCAGGUGUGCUAUGGGCGAUGGGCCCAGACCCCUGUGCGCUUAGGUUUAGACCGGCGUGCUGGCCUCUCUGUUGUGCCUAGGUGGGGCUGCGACGUGUUGAUCUUUUCAGGCCGGGCAUGACCCAGGAAAGUGUGUCCGGCCAAAUGGGAUCGAGCGUGUUGGGUUAUGUGGUGCACCCCUGCAGGGAAGUUAAUCUAUUCGAAUAGCCGUGAUCUUCGGUAACAGGACGACUUGGAGUUGUACCUUGACCUUAUGACAACUAGAACCGGAUACUUAAUAGAACACACCCUUCCAAGUGCCAGAUACAACCGGUGAUCGCUCUCUCACAGGGCGACAAGGGGAGGAUCAUCGGUUAGGAUUAUGCUAUACGAUGCUACUUGGAGGUCUUCAGUCUACUCUCUUCUACAUGCUGCAAGACGAGACUGCCAGAAGCGUAGUCUUCGAAAGGACUAGCUAUCCCCCCUUAUCCCGGCUUUCUGCAGUUCAGUCCACAUAUAAUAGCCUUAUUCCAGUUGAUACCAAUGCAUACAUAUGUAGUGUAGCUCCUUGCUUGCGAGUACUUUGGAUGAGUACUCACGGUUGCUUUCUCCCUCUUUUCUCCCUAUCCCUUCUACCUGGUUGUCGCAACCAGAUGUUGGAGCCCAGGAGCCAGACGCCACCUUCGACAACGACUCCUACUACACCGGAGGUGCCUACUACUACGUGCUGCCCGCUGAUGACGACCAGGAGUAGUUAGGAGGAUCCCAGGCAGGAGGCUUGCGCCUCUUUCGAUCUGUAUCCCAGUUUGUGCUAGCCAUCUUAUGGCAACUUGUUUAACUUAUGUCUGUACUCAGAUAUUGUUGCUUCUGCUGACUCAUCUUUGAUCGAGUUCUUGUAUUCGAGCCUUCGAGGCCCCUGGCUUGUAAUAUAAAGCUUGUAUUAUUUUAAUUUGUGUCUAGAGUUAUGUUGUGAUAUCUUCCAGUGAGUCCUUGAUCUUGAUCGUACACAUUUGCAUGUACGAUUAGUGUACGGUCAAAUCAAGGGCGUCACAUCGGUCUCGGGGCGUUACAACACUCCACCACUACGAGAGAAUCUCGUCCCGAGAUCUAGAAUGGCACUGGGGAAAACAGAAAAGAAAGAGAAGAGGUAAAACUAAGUUGCUCCUUUGAUAAACGAGUGAGACCAAAGAACCUUGAAAAGGUUAAGUCAUUUCGAGAAAAGAAUACAACGGAGGUGAACGAAAUUGAAAACACUCUGUUAGAAAAGAGGAACAAGGAAAAACAAAUUCAGGCAGCACUCCGGUUGAAAGGAGAUGCAAGGAUUGAUAAGGCAAAAAGAACUUGAGCAAAAAGGCACAACACUCCGGUUAAAUGAAUAAACCAAGAAAAGAACAUGAUCCUAACAAAACAAGAAGAUGGGUUGAAGAGAGCAACAUCACAAUGCCUCCGGAACAAAAGUAAGAAUGGAAUGGAAUGAACGAAGGGGAACACGAUCUUGAGAGAGCACACUUGCAACAAAUACUAGACUCGAGUUGUUGGAAAACCAACAACGAAAAGAAUAAGCUUGAUAUGGACUUAUAGAAGACAUCUCAAAAAUUAUGAGGUGAAAUUCUGCCACUAACGGAAAACAAUGGAUUGGAUUGAUAUCAACAAGAAUACGAGAAGCUAUAUCACCGGGAGGAUAAAAGAAGAAGUUGGGUCAUUUAUAAGCACCAUAAUUAGCAACAAUCCUUAGGGAAAGCUUUAGGUGAAAUAUAAUCCAAGAUAACUUCAAUGAAGAGGUUGAUGGAUUGAGAAGAGCUCAUGCUCGAAGGACUUGAUGGGUUUAAACUAUCUCAUACUUAAUAACUUGCGAAUCAUGAAACAUGAAGGGACAUAGUCAAGAAAGACAUAACACCAUCUCAAAAGAUAAGGGGGAACAAUUGCACUCUGGAUUGCAAGAUGAAGAAUGCUUGAGCUCCUUAGAAAAGAAUCUUGAUGAAAACUUCGAGAUGGAAUUAAAUCCUUUAUGAAACAUCAUGUAGAGCCUCAAUGAAGAACUCCGGUAACAAAGGGUAACGACAAGAAAGAGAAGUUGAAAACACAAGGUGAAACCUUGCGAUGAUUGGAAGAGCUCUGCGACGAGAUAAGUUGAAACUUGGAGUUCCGGAAAAGAAAAGAUGAAUCAAGUGAAACCGAGAAUUGAGCCUCCGUAAUAAAUAAUUGAAUAUACUUGAUGAAACAAGAAUAAAAAUUACAUUAUGCUUAUCCUUCACCCAUUAAAUUGGUGACAAGCAAUGGAUUUGGCAUACUACUUAUUCUCGUAGAAAGAUUAAAAGAGAUAUAUCAAAACUUGAGAAGGUCUUCAACGAACCACCGGUAGAAUUGAAAUAAUGAAUAAAUUGAUGAGGAAGAGAAGUCUUGAACGAACCACCAUAAGAAUUAAAAUGAACGAAGAAAAGAUAAGGACAACACCGGGAAGAAUUAGCAAAUGAAUGAAGAAGCUUGAGAGAAUUUAGAUACAUGAGAACGAAGGGAUCACGAACUGAUUAGAGAUCACUUGAAUGAAGCACCGGUAAAAUUUGGAGUAUGAGAGCUGAAAGCUGGAAUGAAUAAUUCUGAUAUGAUGGCCUCCACAGAAUCAAACUGAAAAGACUCCUGAAUUGCUCCGGAUAGGUGAAAAGAAAUCUCACAUUCGAAAACAAUUAUGAGAGGAUGGUCUCGAACUAGAACCACGAAUCCCUGAGAGAACGGAUAAGAUAUGGAGGAAAAACUCUUCUUCGGUCUUCAAAUGUUGAGAAUGACGACGAGAAACACCACCAAGAAUUAUUUAAACCCUCCGAAAGAAUCAAAAGUGAAGAGGUUGAACCAACGAUGAAAAGAAUUUGAAAGAUCUUGGAGAAAUACAUUUGACUGAUGAUAAUUCAUUCUUACGUCAAACAUUGACAAGAAAUUUGAGGAUAUCUCCGGGAAAUAAGAAGAGUCAGGUAAGAUCAUGGGAAAAGACCUGUGGGUUAGGGCCCACUCAAAAGAAACAUCAUUGAAGUAUUUAAAAGAUAGAUUGCACCAGUUGAAUUACAUAGCUCAAAAGAGAUAACAUCCUCGAAAGAGCUUGAAUGAAAGCAGAGUGGAAACACGAUUCUUCUAGAUAUCUUGAGCACUCCAGAACAAUUGAGUAGCGAGCGGUGAAAGAUUAUUAGGUGUACCGUUAUGAGAAGGCAUUUGAAACGAGGAAAAUGAUAUGACCAACACCGAAAGCUUGAAUUGGUUCCACCGAAGAAGAAAACGAGUGAUGAGAGACGAACUUGAAGAUCCGUUAGAAUCUUCAUGAGAAUCACCGGAUAAGAAUAUUGAUAGAAAAAGAAUGGAGAGGCUUCACAUCAAUAAGAUGGAUACUCGAUUAAGAGAUCUGAAUCCUUGGAGAAAAACAAAGGGAGGGAGGGUGGGAAAAACAAAGACAAUUUGAAAUGGAUGAAAUGAACAUCGUUGAGAAGAACUGAUACUAGAUCUUGCGAAUGUUGAAAUGAUCGGAUCCACUUGAAGGGAAACACACCGAUUGAAAAGGAUUGACAUGACAAUCUCAAUUAUCGAGAAGGAUUAGUAUUCACAUCGGAGUAUGAGAACACCGUUUGGGAAAGGGUAUGGAAUCAACAUUUGACUUCAAAGCAACUCGAAUACCACAUCUCAAAACAAAACAAGGAUUGGCUUGCAGAAUAAGCCGGAACAAACAUAUGAUAGAGAUUUCGUCCGAAGUUUUCAUGGUCGGGCCUACACGGGCUCGAUCGUACAACACCAUCAUGUACAAGGCAGUGCACAUGACAUACGAAGCUCCCCGAGUCGGCAUAGCCAAGGACUCUUUAAGACACAAUGAGACCACUUUAAAACCGACCGUGGAUAGGCGGACCACUAGACGUCGAACCCCAAUUUCAUAUCAUACAUCUGUCGGAAAGAUAUCCUAAGAGCUACUUGAAUUCCCACUUAUAAACUCCCGAAAUUUUCCGAUUAUGCAAUUAGGUGUUGGGGAUACAUGGGAAGCAUAAUAUCUCACCCAAAACUAGCAAAUCCUACAUCCAGCUGUAUCCAUCCUUCAACACAUAACCAAGAAACCUUCGGAAAUCGUCUACCUCAACCUUCGAAAAGCAUCCGUUAUACAAGUUAUGGCAAUACUCCCGAACUCCCGCCCCAGUACUGGGUGGCGUCGAGGUUAUCUCACCAACAACUGCAUAAAGGAGAUUUUCGAUGUCGGCGAACUAAACUCAGGUAUUCCAGAACUGCAACGAUAAAAUUGUGACGACAACACCUCGGAGCUCAACUCCCCGGGACACUGCCACAACCCCUAAAUGACAGGAGGCACCAAGAACAAUGUUCUCAUCACAAAUCGAUCGGAACGAUUCCAAGAUACCCGCAUGAUCCUAAAUUUUUUUUAGUGAAAUUUGAGAAGAGAAGAGUCAAAACUCUACGUCAGGAUGCCUUACCAGAGCGAUGAAGGGACUAUGGAGUAAAAGUAAUUCCUAAACUCUCCGAUAUAUAAUUCCUAAAUGACUCAAAACAUUUGUCUAGACUCAACAACGGCCGCUAAAAACGAUCAAGUAGUGGGGGCUCCUAAGGUCGGGGAAGGCUCUGAUUACCAACUUGUAACGCCCUCGAUGCGGCUAUAUCUCCCACGUGUCGAAUCAUGACUUAGAGGCAUAACCGCAUUGAAAGCAAUGUCGCAAGUGAGGUUAUCAUCACACAACCCAUGUAAUACAUAAGGGAAAGAGAUACAUAGUUGGCUUACAAUCGCCACUUCACAAAAUUACAUGAAUAAAGCAUUACAUCAUCCAAAUACAAUCAAGGUCCGACUACGGAACCAAAAUAAAAGAAGAACCCCAAAUGCGACACGGUCCCCGAUCGACCCCAACUGGGCUCCACUACUGAUCAACUAGAAUGAAACAACACAAAGGACAAGAUCUUCAUCGAGCUCCUCUGUGAGCUUGGUUGCGUCAUCUGCAUGGUUCAACGGCACCUACAAGCUGGUUUGGAAGUAUCUGUGAGUCACGGGGACUCAGCAAUCUCGCACCCUCGCGAUCAAGACUAUUUAAGCUUAUGGGUAAGGUAAAAGGUAUGAGGUGGAGCUGCAGCAAGCGACUAGCAUAUAUGGUGGCUAACAUACGCAAAUGAGAGCGAGACGAGAAGGCAAAGCACGGUCGAUAAAAGUAUGAUCAAGAAGUGAUCCUAGAACAACCUACGUCAAGCAUAACUCCAACACCGUGUUCACUUCCCGGACUCCGCCGGAAAGAGACCAUCACGGUUACACACGCAGUUGAUUCAUUUUAAUUAAGUUAAGGUUCAAGUUAUCUACAACCGGACAUUAACAAAUUCCCAUCUGCCCAUAACCGCGGGCACGACUUUCGAAAGUUCAAAUCCCUGCAGGGGUGUCCCAACUUAGCCCAUGACAAGCUCUCACGGUCAACGAAGGAAUAGACCUCCUCCCGAGACAUUGCAAUCAGGCUCGGUAUCCCGGUUCUACAAGACAUCCUCGACAAUGGUAAAACAAGUCCAGCAAGACCACCCGCUGUGCCGACAAAUCCCGAUAGGAGCUGCACAUAUCUCGUUCUUAGGGCACACCGGAUAAGCUAAGCGUACAGGAGCCGACGUAACCCAAGUUGCCAAGGGAUGGCCCUGCACGGUGCUCUGGGUUGGACCAACACUUAGAGGAGCACUGGCCCGGGAGGGUUAAAAUAAGAUGACCCUUGGGCUGGCCUAACCCAAGGGAAAAAGAGGCUAGGUGGCAAAUGGUAAAACCAAGGUUGGGCCUUGCUGGAGGAGUUUUAUUCAAAGCGAACUGUCAAGGGGUUCCCAUUAUAACCCAACCGCGUAAGGAACGCAAAAUCUGGGAACAUAACACCGAUAUGACGGAAACUAGGGUGGCAAGAGUGGAACAAAACACUAGGCAUAAGGCCGAGCCUUCCACCCUUUACCAAGUAUAUAGAUGCAUUAAUUAAAUAAGAUAUAUUCUGAUAUCCCAACAAGUAAACAUGUUCCAACAAGGAACAACAUCUCCAUGUUCCAACAAGGAACAAACUUCAAUCUUCACCUGCAACUAACAACUCUAUAAGAGGGGCUGAGCAAAGCGGUAACAUAGACAAACAACGGUUUGCUAGGACAAGGUGGGUUUGAGGCUUGGUUCAACAAUAUGGGAGACAUGAUAAGCAAGUGGUAGGUAUCGCAGCAUAGGCAUAGCAAAAGAGCGGGCAACUAAGCAAGCAAAGAUAGAAGUGAUUUCGAGGGUAUGAUCAUCUUGCCUGAGAUCCCGCAAGGAAGAAGAACGAGUCCAUGAAGAAGACAAAUGGACGUAGUCGAAUGAAUCCUCACAACACGACGUUAUCGGAACCAACCCGAAGAAGCAACACCGGAAAGAAGCAAACAAUCAUGGUGAACAAACAUCACAUAAGCAUGGCACAAUGCGCAAACAAGUAUGAUGCAUGUCCGAUUUAAUGAUAAAUGGCAUGGCAAAAUGCACAAGCAAUACUACAAAUUAAGUGGAGCUCAAUAUGCAACUCCGUUGCAUAUUGACGAAACACCACGUGACUUAUUAAGUUCGAUCUUGUUUAUGUACCAAACAAUAUUAAAUGUUGUUAAACAUGGAAAGAGGGUGAAGCAAAGAAAACUACCUAUCUAGUCAAGUUUAAAUGAGGCCGGAAACAACGAACAACAAUUUCCGGAAACUCCUCAUAUGCAUAUAUUAGGUUCGGUACUGUUCUGCCCUAAACACAAUUUUAGGUUUGUUAAACAUGCAAAGAGAUGCCACCAUGUUAAACUAUGCAAAAUUCUACCCCAUUUACAUAUAAAGAUUAUUAAAUUCUGAGUUACGGUUAUUUAGUUAUGAAUUAAGUCAUUUUAGCAUGGCAUAGGGGCAAAUUAAAACAAACAACAUUUUAAACAUUUUAAACAUGGAUGGAAAUGACAUAUUAUGAAACUACACAAAAUUCUAAGCAAUUUUCAUAUAUAAAUCAUUUUAUUCCGGUGCAUAGAUGAUGAGUUAUUAUAUGCAUGAAAUAGGAGGGUUUUUCUGUAAAAAAUGCUGACUUUGGAAAAAAUAGACAAAUUGCAGAACUGAAAAAUAAAUAGAGGCGGGCUGAAACACAUAAGGCUGGCCCAACCAGAGGGAAAAGAAAAAAACAAAAGAGGGGCGCGGGUGCCCUCACCAUGGGCUUCGGCCCAGUCAGUGCAGCGGGCCGGCUUGCGCUGGCGGAACUGGACCGCGAGGAUGCAGCCCACGCGGACGCGGUCAACGGUGACGGGCGAUCUCCUCCCGUUUGAAGCAGAGACGGGAACAGGCACGACGGCGGCGGUGGUCUGGCGAGGACGUCGACGGGGCAAGAUGAGGAGGCCAGGAACGAGUAGAUCGACGCGUGGGGAACUCGGAUCCGGCGACGAACGCAGUCAACGCUCGAGGAAGAGCGCUGUGAAACACUGCUCGACCUGAAGUAGAGGAGAUGCACGGGAAGCAGGGCAUCAAUGGUGCGGGCGGCGAUGUGACUUGCUCCGGCGGGGUUUGCAGGUCGGGAGGCGCGGGGAGGACCGGGAACGGUGGAGAUGCGGUCCAUGGCGGCGAUUUCGACCUGCAGAGGGCGACGGAACGAUGACUAUGGCAGCAGGGGCAUCCUCCUGUUGCUCCUGCUCCUGGCGAGACAGAGAGAGAAACUGAGAUAGCGAGAGAGAGAGAAGGGAACCAGAUGAAAGGAAGGGCGCGCUGCGACCUAGAGAGAUGAGGCGGCCGGCAGCGGCCAUGGGAGCUCGUGCUCCUAGUUGCUCCUCGGGAUGGUCUGCUGUUUGCUGCUGCUCGCCAGCAGCAGCUGGGUCGACGACCUGGGUCGAGGUGCACCCCGGCGCCAUGGAAGCUACGGGAGAGGUAGGCGCACGGGCAGAGGAGCUCUGGCUCCUGUAGGAUUUGGGCGACGGCGGUGGUUGGACGGGAGGGGAAAACAAGGAGAAAGUGGAGGCUCAACAGAGAGAUUGGGUGGAGAUGGAUCCCGAGGUGGGAGAUGCUGGCGGCGGGUGAAGGGACAAGCCUCCUAAUUUGUAGGGUUGGGCAAUAUAUAUACACCAGGUGGAUUAGGUUAGGCGCUACCUCAUCCCUACGAUCGUAAUCGGAUGGUCACGAAUAAAAUAGUUAGGGAUCCCAAAUAAGAAAACGAUGACGUUUUGUAGAUGUUUGGGGAUUAUCCGGACACAACGGUGGCGACAGUCCGGGUCGGGUCGGGGACAACUUUUCGGACGCGCGCGCGAGGGGGUUUGAUGCACUGAGUAGAGAGGGUUUGGUAGGGUCUGACGGUGAGUAGAGGACUGUGCAGAAGGCCUCAAGCUGAGACUAGAGAAGAGAGAAAGGCCCAGCGACUGUUUCCGGAGACCGAAAAGGUCCGACGAUUUGACCGACUAUAUUGCCGCUAUAGUUUAACGGUUGAGCUAUCAAACAAACUCCGAAUGCGAUGAAACUUGGCAGGCGGCCUAUCUACACCAUAAAAAGACCACACACCAACUUUCAUCCCAUUCCGAGAACAUUUCCGGCCACUUAUAUAAUAAUAUUUCGGACAUGCCGCAGGUGCAUGCAAGUGUGUCUGGGCUCAAAACGGACAACGGACGGAACGAGGAGACCGGGACGGAUGCAAGUUUCGAAAACAUGAUGAUGCAAUGCACAUGAUGACAUGAAAAGAUGCAACACACAAGCAAAAGACAUGGCAACAACAGCGAAUAAGUGGACGACACCUGGCACAUCGGUCUCGGGGCGUUACAACACUCCACCACUACGAGAGGAUCUCGUCCUGAGAUCUAGAAUGGCACCGGGGAAAACAGAAAAGAAAGAGAAGAGGUAAAACUAAGUUGCUCCUUUGACAAACGAGUGAGACCAAAGAACCUUGAAAAGGUUAAGUCAUUUCGAGAAAAGAAUACAGCGGAGGUGAACGAACUUGAAAACACUCUGUUAGAAAAGAGGAACAAGGAAGAACAAAUUCAGGCAGCACUCCGGUUGAAAGGAGAUGCAAGGCUUGAUAAUGCGAAAAGAACUUGAGCAAAAAGGCACAACACUCUGGUUAAAUGAAUAAACCAAGAAAAGAACACGAUCCUAACAAAACAAGAAGAUGGGUUGAAGAGAGCAACAUCACAAUGCCUCCGGAACAAAAUUAAGAAUGGAAUGGAAUGAACAAAGGGGAACAUGAUCUUGAGAGAGCACACUUGCAACAAAUACUAGACCGGAGUUGUUGGAAAACCAACAACGAAAAGAAUAAGCUUGAUAUGGACUUAUAGAAGACAUCUCAAAAAUUAUGAGGUGAAAUUCUGGCACUAACGGAAAACAAUGGAUUGGAUUGAUAUCAACAAGAAUACGAGAAGCUAUAUCACCGGUAGGAUAAAAGAAGAAGUUGGGUCAUUUAUAAGCACCAUAGUUAGCAACAAUCCUUAGGGAAAGCUUUAGGUGAAAUAUAAUCCAAGAUAACUUCAAUGAAGAGGUUGAUGGAUUGAGAAGAGCUCAUGCUCGAAGGACUUGAUGGGUUUAAACUAUCUCAUAUUUGACAACUUGUGAAUCAUGAAACAUGAAGGGACAUUGUCAAGAAAGACAUAACACCAUCUCAAAAGAUAAGGGGGGAACAAUUGCACUCCUGAUUGCAAGAUGAAGAAUGCUUGAGCUCCUUAGAAAAGAAUCUUGAUGAAAACUUUGAGAUGGAAUUAAAUCCUUUAUGAAACAUCAUGUAGAGCCUCCAUGAAGAACUCCGGUAACAAAGGGUAACGACAAGAAAGAGAAGUUGAAAACACAAGGUGAAACCUUGCGAUGAUUGGAAGAGCUCUGCGACGAGAUAAGUUGAAACUUGGAGCUCCGGAAAAGAAAAGAUGAAUCAAGUGAAACCGAGAAUUUGAUGAGCCUAAGUAAUAAAUAAUUGAAUAUACUCGAUGAAACAAGAAUAAAAAUUACAUUAUGCUUAUCCUUCACCCAUUAAAUUGAUGACAAGCAAUGGAUUUGGCAUACUACUUAUUCUCGUAGAAAGGAUUAAAAGAGAUAUAUCAAAACUUGAGAAGGUCUUCAACGAACCACCGGUAGAAUUGAAAUAACAAAUAAAGUGAUGAGGAAGAGAAGUCUUGAACGAACCACCGUAAGGAUUAAAAUGAUCGAAGAAAAGAUAAGGACAACACCAGGAAGAAUUAGCAAAUGAAUGAAGAAGCUUGAGAGAAUUUAGAUACAUGAGAACGAAGGGAUCACGAACUGAUUAGAGAUCACUUGAACGAAGCACCAGUAAAAUUUGGAGUAUGAGAGCUGAAAGCUGGAAUGAAUAAUUCUGAUAUGAUGGCCUCCAGAGAAUCAAACUGAAAAGACUCCUGAAUUGCUCUGGAUAGGUGAAAAGAAAUCUCACAUUCGAAAACAAUUAUGAGAGGAUGGUCUCGAACUAGAACCACGAAUCCCUGAGAGAACGGAUAAGAUAUGGAGGAAAAACUCUUCUUCGGUCUUCAAAUGUUGAGAAUGACGACGAGAAACACCACCAAGAAUUAUUUAAACCCUCUGAAAGAAUCAAAAGCGAAGAGGUUGAACCAACGAUGAAAAGAAUUUGAAAGAUCUUGGAGAAAUACAUUUGACUGACGAUAAUUCAUUCUUACGUCAAAUUUUGACAAGAAAUUUGAGGAUAUCUCCGGGAAAUAAGAAGAGUCAGGUAAGAUCCUGGGAAAAGAACUGUGGGUUAGGGCCCACUCAAAAGAAACAUCGUUGAAGUAUUUAAAAGAUAGAUUGCACCAGUUGAAUUACAUAGCUCAAAAGAGAUAACAUCCUCGAAAGAGCUUGAAUGAAAGCAGAGUGGAAACCCGAUUCUACCGAAAGCUUGAAUUGGUUCCACCGGAGAAGAAAACGAGUGAUGAGAGACGAACUUGAAGAUCUGUUAGAAUCUUCAUGAGAAUCACCGGAUAAGAAUAUUGAUCGAAAAAGAAUGGAGAGGCUUCACAUCAAUAAGAUGGAUACUCGAUUAAGAGAUCUGAAUCCUUGGAGGAAAACAAAGGGAGGGAGGGUGGGAAAAAUAAAGACAAUUUGAAAUGGAUGAAACGAACAUCGUUGAGAAGAACUGAUACUAGAUCUUGCGAAUGUUGAAAUGAUCGGAUCCACUUGAAGAGAAACACACCGAUUGAAAAGGAUUGACAUGACAAUCUCAAUUAUCGAGAAGGAUUAGUAUUCACAUCGGAGUAUGAGAACACCGUUUGGGAAAGGGUAUGGAAUCAACAUUUGACUUCGAAGCAACUCAAAUACCACAUCUCAAAACAAAACAAGGAUUGGCUUGCAGAAUAAGCCGGAACAAACAUAUGAUAGAGAUUUCGUCCGAAGUUUUCAUGGUGGGGCCUACAAGGGCUCGAUCGUACAACACCAUCAUGUACAAGGUAGUGCACAUGACAUACAAAGCGUCCCCGAGUCGACAUAGCCAAGGACUCUUUAGGACACAACGAGACCACUGUAAAACCGACCGUGGAUAGGCGGACCACUAGACGUCGAACCCCAAUUUCAUAUCAUACAUCUGUCGGAAAGAUAUCCUAAGAGCUACUUGAAUUCCCACUUAUAAACUCCCGAAAAUUUCCGGUUAUGCAAUCAGGUGUUGGGGAUACAGGGGAAGCAUAAUAUCUCACCCAAAACUAGCAAAUCCUACAUCCAGCUGUAUCCAUCCUUCAACACAUAACCAAGAAACCUUCAGAAAUCGUCUACCUCAACCUUCAAAAAGCAUCUGUUAUACAAGUUAUGGCAAUACUCCCGAACUCCCGCCCCAGUACUGGGUGGCGUCGAGGUUAUCUCACCAACAACUGCAUAAAGGAGAUUUUCGAUGUCGGCGAACUAAACUCAGGUAUUCCAGAAUUGCAACGAUAAAAUUGUGACGACAACACCUCGGAGCUCAACUCCCCGGGACACUGCCACAACCCCUAAAUGACAGGAGGCACCAAGAACAAUGUUCUCAUCACAAAUCGAUCGGAACGAUUCCAAGAUACCCGCAUGAUCCUAAAAAAAUUUAGUGAAAUUUGAGAAGAGAAGAGUCAAAACUCUACGUCAGGAUGCCUUACCAGAGCGAUGAAGGGACUAUGGAGUAAAAAUAAUUCCUAAACUCUCCGAUAUAUAAUUCCUAAAUGACUCAAAACAUUUUUCUAGACUCAACAACGGCCGCUAAAAACGAUCAAGUAGUGGGGGCUCCUAAGGUCGGGGAAGGCUCUGAUUACCAACUUGUAACGCCCUCGAUGCGACUAUAUCUCCCACGUGUCGAAUCACGACUUAGAGGUAUAACCGCAUUGAAAGCAAUGUCGCAAGUGAGGUAAUCAUCGCACAACCCAUGUAAUACAUAAGGGAAAGAGAUACAUAGUUGGCUUACAAUCGCCACUUCACACAAUUACAUGAAUAAAGCAUUACAUCAUCCAAAUACAAUCAAGGUCCGACUACGAAACCAAAAUAAAAGAAGAACCCCAAAUGCGACACGGUCCCCGAUCGACCCCAACUGGGCUCCACUACUGAUCAACUAGAACGAAACAACACAAAGGACAAGAUCUUCAUCGAGCUCCUCUGUGAGCUUGGUUGCCUCAUCUGCACGGUUCAACGGCACCUGCAAGCUGGUUUGGAAGUAUCUGUGAGUCACGGGGACUCAGCAAUCUCGCACCCUCGCGAUCAAGACUAUUUAAGCUUAUGGGUAAGGUAAAAGGUAUGAGGUGGAGCUGCAGCAAGCGACUAGCAUAUAUGGUGGCUAACAUACGCAAAUGAGAGCGAGACGAGAAGGCAAAGCACGGUCGAUAAAAGUAUGAUCAAGAAGUGAUCCUAGAACAACCUACGUCAAGCAUAACUCCAACACCGUGUUCACUUCCCGGUCUCCGCCGGAAAGAGACCAUCACGGUUACACACGCAGUUGAUUCAUUUUAAUUAAGUUAAGGUUCAAGUUAUCUACAACCGGACAUUAACAAAUUCCCAUCUGCCCAUAACCACAGGCACGGCUUUCGAAAGUUCAAAUCCCUAUAGGGGUGUCCCAACUUAGCCCAUGACAAGCUCUCACAGUCAACGAAGGAAUAGACCUCCUCCCGAGACAUUCCGAUCAGGCUCGGUAUCCCGGUUCUACAAGACAUCCUCGACAAUGGUAAAACAAGUCCAGUCAGUGCAGCGGGCCGAAACACAGAAGGCUGGCCCAACCAGAGGGAAAACAAAAAAACAAAAGAGGGGCGCGGGUGCCCUCACCAUGGGCUUCGGCCCAGUCAGUGCAGCGGGCCGGCUUGCGUUGGCGGAACUGGACCGCGAGGAUGCAGCCCACGCGGACGCGGUCAACGGUGACGGGCGAUCUCCUCCCUUCGAAGCAGAGACGGGAACAGGCACGACGGCGGCGGUGGUCCGGCGAGGACGUCGACGGGGCAAGACGAGGAGGCCGGGAACGAGCAGAUCGGUGUGUGGGGAACUCGGAUCCGGCGACGGACGCAGUCAACGCUCGAGGACGAGCGCUAUGAAGCACUGCUCGACCUGAAGCAGAGGAGAUGCACGGGAAGCAGGGCAUCGAUGGUGCGGGCGGCGAUGUGACUUGCUCCGGCGGGGUUUGCAGGUCGGGAGGCGCGGGGAGGACCGGGAACGGUGGAGAUGCGGUUCCAUGGCGGCAAUUUCGACCUGCAGAGGGCGACGGAACGAUGACCAUGGCAGCAGGGGCGUCCUCCUAUUGCUCCUGCUCCUGGCGAGAGAGAGAGAGAGAGAAACUAAGAUAGCGAGAGAGAGAAGGGAACCAGAUGAAAGGAAGGGCGCGCUGCGACCUGGAGAGACGAGGCGGCCGGCGGCGGCCAUGGGAGCUCGUGCUCCUAGUUGCUGCUCGGGAUGGUCUGCUGUUUGCUGCUGCUCGCCGGCAGCGGCUGGGUCGACAACGGGGUCGAGGUGCGCCCCGGCGCCAUGGAAGCUACGGGAGAGGUAGGCGCACGGGCAGAGGAGCUCUGGCUCCUGUAGGAUUUGGGCGACGGCGGUGGUUGGACGGGAGGGGAAAACGAGGAGAAAGUGGAGGCUCAGUGGAGAGAUUGGGUGGAGAUGGAUCCCGAGGUGGGAGAUGUUGGCGGCGGGUGAAGGGACAAGCCUCCUAAUUUCUAGGGUUGGGCAAUAUAUAUACACCAGGUGGAUUAGGUUAGGCGCUACCUCAUCCCUACGAUCGUAAUCGGAUGGUCGCGAAUAAAAUAGUUAGGGAGCCCAAAUAAGAAAACGAUGACGUUUUUUAGAUGUUUGGGGAUGAUCCGGACACAACGGUGGCGACAGUCCGGGUCGGGUCCGGGACAACUUUUCGGACGCGCACGCGAGGGGGUUUGAUGCACUGAGUAGAGAGGGUUUGGUAGGGUCUGACGGUGAGUAGAGGACUGUGCAGAAGGCCUCAGGCUGAGACAAGAGAAGAGAGAAAGGCCCGGCGACUGUUUCCGGAGACCGAAAACGUCCGAUGAUUUGACCGACUAUAUUGCCGCUAUAGUUUAAUGGUUGAGCUAUCAAACGAACUCCGGAUGCGAUGAAACUUGGCAGGCGGCCUAUCUACACCAUAAAAAGACCACACGCCAACUUUCAUCCCAUUCCGAGAACAUUUCCUGCCACUUAUAAAAUAAUAUUUCGGACAUGCCGCGGGCGCAUGCAAGUGUGUCUGGGCUCAGAGCGGACAACGGACGGAACGAGGAGACCGGGACGGAUGCAAGUUUCGAAAACAUGAUGAUGCAAUGCACAUGAUGACAUGACAAGAUGCAACACGCAAGCAAAAGACAUGGCAACAACAGCGAAUAACUGGACGACACCUGGCACACCGGUCUCGGGGCGUUACAGGAUGCCUUGGAAGGCAUCCCCUCUUUCGUCUUCGUUCAUCGGUAACUUUACUUGGAGCUAUAUUUUUAUUCGCCACAUGAUAUGUGUUUUAAUUGGAGUGUCAUUUUAUUUUCUUUAGUUUUUCUUGGGGUUUGAAUAAAAUACCAAGAUCUGAAAUUAUUAAAUGUUAGAGAGUCUUCUUAUAGUUGCAUAAUUGUUCAACUACUCAUUGAUCUUCAUUUAUAUCUUUCGGAGUAGUUUGUUGUUGCUCUAGUGCUUCACUUAUAUCCUUUUAGAGCACGGUGGUGGUUUUGUUUUAUAGAAACUAUUGAUCUCUCAUGCUUCACUUAGAUUAUUUUGAGAGUAUUAAAUAGCAUGGUAAUUUGCUUAAAUAAUCCUAAUAUUCUAGGUGUUCAAGAUUAAUAAAAAAAAUCUUAUGAGUGUUUUGAAUACUAAGAGAAGUUUGAUGCUUGAUGAUUGUUUUGAGAUAUGGAUGUAAUAAUAUCAAAUCGUGCUACUUGAGUAGUUGUGAAUUUGAGAAAUUCUUGUGUUGAAGUUUGCAAGUCCCGUAGCAUGCACGUAUGGUAAACAUUAUGUAACAAAUUUGAAACAUGAGGUGUUAUUUGAUUGUCUUCCUUAUGAGUGGCGGUCGGGGACGGGCGAUGGUCUUUUCCUACCAAUCUAUCCCCCUAGGAGCAUGCGUGUAGUGCUUGGUUUUUGAUGACUUGUAGAUUUUUUCAAUAAGUAUGUGAGUUCUUUAUGACUAAUGUUGAGUCCAUGGAUUAUAAGCACUCUCACCCUUCCAUCAUUGCUAGCCUCUUCGGUACCGUGCAUUGCCCUUUCUCACAUUGAGAGUUGGUGCAAACUUCGCCGGUGCAUCCAAACCCCGUGAUAUGAUACGCUCUUUCACACAUAAACCUCCUUAUAUCUUCCUCAAAACAGCCACCAUACCUACCUAUUAUGGCAUUUCCAUAGCCAUUCCGAGAUAUAUUGCCAUGCGACUUUCCACCAUUCUGUUUAUCAUGACACAUUCAUCAUUGUCAUAUUGCUUAGCAUGAUCAUGUAGUUGACAUAGUAUUUGUGGCAAAUCCACCGUUCAUAAUUCUUUCAAACAUGUCACUCUUGGUUCAUUGCAAAUCCCGAUACACCGUCGGAGGCAUUAAUAUAGAGUCAUCUUUUGUUCUAGCAUCGAGUUGUAAUCAUUGAGUUGUAAAUAAAUAUAAGUGUGAUGAUCAUCAUUUUCUAGAGCAUUGUCCCAAGUGAGGAAAUAAAUAAAUAAAUAAAAAAGAAGAGAAAGGCCAUAAAAAAGAGAAGGCCCAAAAAAAAGAAAGGCCAUAAAAAAGAGAAGGCCCCCAAAAAAGAAAGGCCAUAAAAAAGAAGAAGGUCCAAAAAAAGGAGAAAAAGAGAGAAGGGACACUGCUACUAUCCUUUUCCACACUUGUGCUUCAAAGUAGCACCAUGAUCCUCAUGAUAGAGUUUUGUCACUUUCAUAUACUAGUGGGAAUUUUUCAUUAUAGAACUUGGCUUGUAUGUUCCAACAAUGGGCCGCCUCAAGUGCCCUAGGUCUUCGUGAGCAAGCAAGUUGGAUGCACACCCACUUAGUUUCUUUUGUUGAGCUUUCAUACAUUUAUAGCUAUAGUGCAUCCGUUGCAUUGCAAUCCCUACUCCUUGCAUUAACAUCAAUCGAUGGGAAUCUCCAUAGCUCAUUGAUUAGCCUCGUUGAUGUGAGACUUUCUCCUUUUUGUCUUCUACACAUAACCCCCAUCAUCAUAUUCUAUUCCACCCAUAGUGCUAUGUCCAUGGCUCGCGCUCAUGUAUUGCGUGAAAGUUUAUAGGUUUGAGAUUACUAAAGUAUGAAACAAUUGCUUGGCUUGUCAUCGGGGUUGUGCAUGGUGAGAGCAUUCUUGUGUGACGAAAAUGGAGCAUGACUAAACUAUAUGAUUUUGUAGGGAUGAACUUUCUUUGGCCAUGUUAUUUUGAGAAGACAUAAUUGCUUUGUUAGUAUGCUUGAAGUAUUAUUAUUUUUAUGUCAAUAUGAACUUUUGUCUUGAAUCUUAUGGAUCUGAAUAUUCAUACCAUAAUUAAGAAGAAUUACAUUAAAAUUAUGCCAAGUAGCACUCCGCAACAAAAAUUCUGUUUUUAUCAUUUACCGACUCGAGGACGAGCAGGAAUUAAGAUUGGGGAUGCUGAUACAUCUCCAACGUAUCUAUAUUUUUUGAUUGCCCCAUGCUAUAUUAUCUUCUGUUUUGGAUGUUUAUGGGCUUUAUUAUACACUUUUAUAUUAUUUUUGGGACUAACCUAUUAACCCAGAGCCCAGUGCCAGUUUUUGUUUUUCCUUGUUUUGGAGUAUCACAGAAAAGAAAAUCAAAUGGAGUCCAAUUGACCUGAAACUUCACGGAACUUUUUUUUGGACCAGAAGCAACCCGGGAGACUUGGAGUCCACGUAAGUGAAGCAACGAGGAAGCCACGAGGCAGGGGGCGCGCCCUCCACACUCGUGGGCCCCGCGUGGCCCCCUGACGUACUUCUUCCGCCUAUAUAUCUCCAUAUACCCUAAAACGAUCGGGGAGCAUAAUAGAUCGGGAGUUCCGCCGCUAAAAGCCUCCGUAGCCACCGAAAGCCAAUCUAGACCCGUUCUGGCACCCUGCCGGAGGGGGCAAUCCCUCUCCGAUAGCCAUCUUCAUCAUCCCGGUGCUCUCCAUGACGAGGAGGGAGUAGUUCUCCCUCGGGGCUGAGGGUAUGUACCAGUAGCUAUGUGUUUGAUCUCUCUCUCUCUCUCUCGUGUUCUUGAGGUGAUACAGUCUUGAUGUAUCGCGAGCUUUACUAUUAUAGUUGGAUCUUAUGAUGUUUUCUCCCCCUUCUACUCUCUUGUAAUGGAUUGAGUUUUCCCUUUGAAGUUAUCUUAUCAGAUUGAGUCUUUAAAGAUUUGAGAACACUUGAUGUAUGUCUUGCCAUGCGUAUCUGUGGUGACAAUGGGAUAUCACGUGAUUCACUUGAUGUAUGUUUUGGUGACCAACUUGCGGGUUCCGCCCAUGAACCUAUGCAUAGGGGUUGGCACAUGUUUUCGUCUUGACUCUCCGGUAGAAACUUUGGGGCACUCUUUGAAGUACUUUGUGUUGGAUUGAAUGGAUGAAUCUGAGAUUGUGUGAUGCAUAUCAUAUAAUCAUACCCACGGAUACUUGAGGUGACAUUGGAGUAUCUAGGUGACAUUAGGGUUUUGAUUGAUUUGUGUCUUAAGGUGUUAUUCUAGUACGAACUCUAGGGCUGUUUGUGACACUUAUAGGAAUAGCCCAACGGAUUGAUUGGAAAGAAUAACUUUGAGGUGGUUUCGUCCUACCAUAAUAUCUUCGUUUGUUCUCCACUAUUAGUUACUUUGGAGUGACUCUUUGUUGCAUGUUGAGGGAUAGUUAUGUGAUCUAAUUAUGUUAUUAUUGUUGAGAGGAUUUGCACUAGUGAAAGUAUGAACCCUAGGCCUUGUUUCCUAGCAUUGCAAUACCGUUUACGCUCACUUUUAUCAUUAGUUACCUUGCUGUUUUUAUAUUUUCAUAUUACAAAAACUUAUAUCUACCAUCCAUAUUGCACUUGUAUCAACAUCUCUUCGCCGAACUAGUGCACCUAUACAAUUUACCAUUGAAUUGGGUGUGUUGGGGACAAAAGAGACUCUUUGUUAUUGGUUGCAGGGUUUCUUGAGAGAAACCAUCUUCAUCCUACGCCUCCUACGGAUUGAUAAACCUUAGGUCAUCCACUUUAGGGAAAUUUUCUAUUGUCCUACAAACCUCUGCACUUGGAGGCCCAACAACGUCUACAAGAACAAGGUUAUGUAGUAGACAUCAAGCUCUUUUCUGGUGCAGUUGCCGGGGAGGUUAGCGCUUGAAGGUAUAUCUUUAGAUCUUACAAUCGAGUCUUUUAGUUUCUUGUUUUAUCACUAGUUCAGUUUAUAAAAGAAAAUUACAAAAAAAAUGGAAUUGAGGGUACCUCAUACGCUUCAUAUUUUUAAUAUCUAUCAUGAGAAUAAGGAUUCCGAUAAUUGUGCUCAAGUGCUAGAAGAAGAAUGCAUUAGAAUGUUUGGCACUAAAUAUUUGAAUGAUGAACAUGAUUGCAAUGUUGUUAGUAUGAAUUCCUUGAAUAUCCAUGAUGCUAAUGAAAUGCAAAGCCACAAGCUUGUAGUAGACAUCAAUCUCCCCGGCAACGCUGCCAGAAAUCCUUCUUGCUUCCUCUUGAGCACUGCGUUGGUUUUCCCUUGAAGAGAAAAGGGUGAUGCAGCAAAGUAGCGUAAGUAUUUCCCUCAGUUUUUGAGAACCAAGGUAUCAAUCCAGUAGGAGACUACACGGAAGUCCCUCGUACCUACACAAACAAAUAAGAACCUCUCAACCAACGCGAUAAAGGGGUUGUCAAUCCCUUCACAGUCACUUACGAGAGUGAGGUUUGAUAGAGAUAAUAAUAAGAUAAAUAUUUUUGGUAUGUUUAUGAUAUAGAUUGGAAAAUAAAGAUUGCAAAAUAAAUGGUAAUAGAAAUAGCUUGUUGAUGGGAGAUUAAUAUAAAGGAGAAUAGACCCGGGGGCCAUAGGUUUCACUACUGGCUUUUCUCAAGAUAGCAUAAGUAUUACGGCGGGUGAACAAAAUACUGCCGAGCAAUUGAUAGAAAAGUGCAUAAUUAUGGGAAUAUCUAGGCAUGAUCAUGUAUAUAGACAUCACGUCCAAGACAAGUAGACCGAAACGAUUCUGCAUCUACUACUAUUACUCCACACAUCGACCGCUAUCCAGCAUGCAUCUAAAGUAUUAAGUUCAUAAGAACAGAGUAAUGCAUUAGGCAAGAUGACAUGAUGUAGAGGGAUAAACUCAAGCAAUAUGAUAUAAACCCCAUCUUUUUAUCCUUGAUGGCAACAAUACAAUACGUGCCUUGCUGCCCCUACUGUCACUGAGAAAGGACACCGCAAGAUUGAACCCAAAGCUAAGCACUUGUCCCAUUGCAAUAAAGAUCAAUGUAGUAGGCCAAACCAAACUGAUAAUUCGAAGAGACUUGCAAAGAUAACCAAUCAUACAUAAAAGAUUCCAGAGAAGAAUCAAAUAUUGUUCAUAGAUAAACUUGAUUAUAAACCCACAAUUCAUCGGAUGUCGACAAACACACCGCAAAAAGAGUUACAUCAAAUAGAUCUCCAAGAAGAUCGAGGAGAACAUUGUAUUGAGAUCCAAAUAGAGAGAAGAAGCCAUCUAGCUAAUAACUAUGGACCCGAAGGUCUGAAGUAAACUACUCACACAUCAUCGGAGAGGCUAUGGUGUUGAUUUAGAAGCCCUCCGUGAUUGAUUCCCCCUCCGGCAGAGCUCCGGGAAAGGCCCCAAGAUGGGAUCUCUUGGGUACAGAAGGUUGCGGCGGUGGAAAUAGGGUUUCGUGGUGCUCCUGGAUGUCUUCGGGGUAUAUGGAUAUAUAUAGGAGGAAGAAGUAGGUCGGUGGAGCCACGAGGGGCCCACGAGGGUGGAGGGCGCGCCCCCUACCUCGUGGCCUCCUUGUUUGUUUCUUGACGUCCACUCCAAGUCCCCUGGAUCACGUUUGUUCCAAAAAUAACUCUCCUGAAGGUUUCAUUCCGUUUGGAUUCCGUUUGAUAUUCUUUUUCUGCAAAACACUGAAAUAGGCAAAAAACAGCAAUUUGCACAGGGCCUUGGGUUAGUAGGUUAGUCCCAAAAAUAAUAUAUAAGUGUAAAAAUAAGCCCAUUGACAUCCAAAACAGAUAAUAUAAUAGCAUGGAACAAGAAAAAAUUAUAGAUACGUUGGAGACGUGUCACAUACUGAUACGUCUCCAACAUAUCUAUAAUUUUGAUUGCUCCAUGCUAUUAUAUUAUCUAUUUUGGAUGUUAAUGGGCUUUAUUUUACACUUCUAUAUCAUUUUUGGGACUAACCUACCAACCAAAGGCCCAGCCCAAAUUACUGCUUUUUUUGCCUAUUUUAGGGUUUCGUCGAAAAGGAAUAUCAAACAGAGUCCAAACGGAGUGAAACCUUCGGGAACGUGAUUUUCUCAACAAACGUGAUCCAGGAGACUUGGAGUGGGCGUCAAGAAACAAGGGAGGAAGGCAGGAGGCAGGGGCGCUCCUACCCCCCUGGGCGCGCCCUCCACCCUAGUGGGCCCUCCGUUGCUCCACGGUCGUACUUCUUCCUCCUAUAUAAGUCCACGUACACCCCCAAACAUCCAGGAGCACCACGAAAACCUAAUUCCAUGGCCACAACCUUCUGUACCCGAGAGAUCCCAUCUUGGGGCCUUUUUCGGAGCUCCGCCGGAGGGGGCAUUGAUCAUGGAGGGCCUCUACAUCAACUCCAUGGCCUCUCCGGUGAUGUGUGAGUAGUUUAUUUCAGACCUACGGGUCCAUAUUUAUUAGCUAGAUGGCUUCUUCUCUCUAUUUGGAUCUCAAUACAAAGUUCUCCUCGAUUCUCUUGGAGAUCUAUUCGAUAUAAUCUUCUUUUGCGGUGUGUUUGUCAAGAUCCAAUGAAUUGUGGGUUUAUGAUCCAGAUUAUCUAUGAACAAUAUUUGAUUCUCCUCUGAAUUCUUUUAUGUAUGAUUGGUUUAUCUUUGCAAGUCUCUUCGAAUUAUCAGUUUGGUUUGGCCUACUAGUUUGAUCUUUCUUGCAAUUGGAGAAGUGCUUAGCUUUGGGUUCAAUCUUGCGGUGCUCGAUCCCAUUGACAGAAAGGGAACCGACACGUAUUGUAUUGUUGCCAUCGAGGAUAAAAAGAUGAGGUUUAUAUCAUAUUGCAUGAAUUUAUCCCUCUACAUCAUGUCAUCUUCCUUAAAGCAUUACUCUGUUCUUAUGAACUUAAUACUCUAGAUGCAUGUUGGAUAGCGGUCGAUGUGUGGAGUAAUAGUAGUAGAUGCAGAAUCGUUUCGGUCUACUUGUCUCGGACGUGAUGCCUAUAUACAUGAUCAUACCUAGAUAUUCUCAUAACUAUGCUCGAUUCUAUCAAUUGCUCGACAGUAAUUCGUUUACCCACCGUAAUACUUAUGCUCUUGAGAGAAGCCACUAGUGAAACCUAUGGCCCCCGGGUCUAUCUUUCAUUAUAUUAAUCUUCCAAUACUUAGUUAUUUCUUUUGCCUUUUAUUUUACUUUGCAUCUUUAUCACAAAAAUACCAAAAAUAUUAUCUUAUCAUAUCUAUCAGAUCUCAUUCUCGUAAGUGACCGUGAAGGGCUUGACAACCCCUUUAUCGCAUUGGUUGCAAGGUUCUUAUUUGUUUUUGUAGGUGCGUGGGACUUGAGAGUGAUCUGCUACUGGAUUGAUACCUUGGUUCUCAAAACUGAGAGAAAUACUUACGCUACUUUGCUGCAUCACCCUUUCCUCUUCAAGGGAAAACCAAUGCAGUGCUCAAGAGGUAGCAAGAAGGAUUUUUGGCGCCGUUGCUGGGGAGAUUCGCGCCAAGUCAAGUCAAGAUUUGACUUCCAACAACAAGUCAUUUUAGGUGCCGUUGCUAAGUCAAGACAUACCAAGUACCCAUCACAAACCCUUAUCCCUCGCAUUAUUUGCCAUUUGCCUCUCGUUUUCCUCUCCCCCACUUCACCUUUGCCGAUUUAUUCGCCCUCUCUCGCCGUUCCUCUUCUCUUUCCCUAUUUUGCCUUUUUUUUGCCUGUUUCUUGUUUGCUUGUGUGUUGGAUUGCUUGCUUGUCACGAUGGCUCAAGAUAAUACUAAAUUGUGUGACUUUACCAAUACCAUCAACAAUGAUUUUCUUAGCACUCCGAUUGCUCCUCUUGCCGAUGCUGAAUCUUGUGAAAUUAAUGCUGCUUUGUUGAAUCUUGUCAUGAAAGAUCAAUUUGCCGGUCUUCCUAGUGAAGAUGCCGCUACCCAUCUGAAUAGCUUUGUUGAUUUGUGUGAUAUGCAAAAGAAGAAAGAUGUGGACAAUGAUAUUGUUAAAUUGAAGCUAUUUCCGUUUUCGCUUAGAGAUCGUGCUAAAGCUUGGUUUUCAUCUUUGCCUAGAAACGAUAUUAUGAAUUUUAAGCAACUUGAUCAUGAACAUGUUGCAAAAUCUUGGGAGAGGAUGAAAUUAAUGAUACAUAAUUGCCCUACACAUGAUUUGAAUCUUUGGAUGAUUAUACAGAAUUUUUAUGCCGGAUUGAAUUUUGCUUCUAGAAAUCUUUUAGAUUCGGCUGCGGGAGGCACUUUUAUGUAAAUCACUUUAGGAUAAGCUACCAAACUCCUAGAUAAUAUUAUGGUUAAUUAUUCUCAAUGGCACACCGAAAGAUCUACUAGUAAAAAAGUGCAUGCAAUUGAAGAAAUUAAUGUUUUAAGUGGAAAGAUGGAUGAACUUAUAAAAUUGUUUGCUAAUAAGAGUGCUCCUACUAAUCCUAAUGAUAUGCCUUUAUCUACUUUGAUUGAGAAUAAUAAUGAAUCUAUGGAUGUGAAUUUUCUUGGUAGGAACAAUUUUGGCAAUAACGUGUAUAGAGGUAAUUUUAAUCCUAGGUCGUUUCCUAGUAAGUCCUCUAAUAAUUAUGGUAAUUCAUACAACAAUUCUUAUGGAAAUUAUAAUAAGAUGCCCUCUGAUUUUUAAUCUAAUAUUAAAUAAUUUAUUACUUCGCAAAAGAGUUUCAAUGCUUUGUUUGAAGAAAAAUUGCUUAAGGUUGAUGAGUUGGCUAGGAACGUCGAUAGAAGUUCUCUUGAUGUUGAUUCUUUGAAAUUUAGAUCUAUUCCACCUAAGGAUGAUAUCAAUGAGUCUCUCAAAGCCAUGAGAAUUUCCAUUGAUGAGUUCAAAGAAAGAACCGCUAGGAUGCGUGCGAAGAACGAUUGCUUUGUGAAAGCGUGUUCUUCUAGUUUUAAUGAUAAUAAGGAUGAAGAUAUAAAAGUGAUUGAUGUGUCCCCUAUUAAAUAUUUGUUUUGCAAUAUGAAUCUUGAUAAUGAUGGGAUUGAAGAUGAUCCACCUUUACCUAGAAGGCGUUCCAAAAAUUCGGAGUUUUUAGAUCUUGAUGCUAAAAUUGUUAAAAGUGGGAUUGAAGAGGUUAAAACUUUAAAUAUCAAUGAACCCACUAUUUUGGAUUUCAAGGAAUUUAAUUAUGAUAAUUUCUCUUUGAUAGAUUGUAUUUCCUUGUUGCAAUCCGUGCUAAAUUCUCCUCAUGCUUACAGUCAAAAUAAAGCUUUUACUAAACAUAUCGUUGAUGCUUUGAUGCAAUCUUAUGAAGAAAAACUUGAGUUCGAAGUUUCUAUCCCUAGAAAACUUUAUGAUGAGUGGGAACCUAUAAUAAAAAUUAAAAUUAAAGAUCAUGAGUGCUAUGCUUUGUGUGAUUUGGGUGCUAGUGUUUCCACGAUUCCAAAAACUUUGUGUGAUUUGCUAGGUUUCCGUUAUUUUGAUGAUUGUUCUUUCAACUUGCACCUUGCGGAUUCCACUAUUAAGAAACCUAUGGGAAGAAUUAAUGAUGUUCUUAUUAUUGCAAAUAGGAAUUAUGCGCCCGUAGAUUCCAUUGUUCUUGAUAUAGAUUGCAAUCCUUCAUGUCCUAUUAUUCUUGGUAGACCUUUCCUUAGAACGAUUGGUGCAAUUAUUGAUAUGAAUGAAGGGAAUAUCAAAUUCCAAUUUCCAUUAAAUAAUGGCAUGGAACACUUCCAUAGAAAUUAAAUUAAAUUACCAUAUGAAUCUAUUAUGAGAGACACUUAUGGAUUACCUACCAAAGAUGGCAAUACCUUGAUCUAUCUUCGCUUUUAUGCCUAGCUAGGGGCGUUAAACGAUAGCGCUUGUUGGGAGGCAACACAAUUUUAUUUUUAUUCCUUGAUUUUUGCUCCUGUUUAGUAAUAAAAAAUUUAUCUAUCCUCUAUUUUGGUUGUGUUUUUUGUGUUUAAUUAGUGUUUGUGCCAAGUAGAACCGUUGGGAAGACUUGGGGAAAGUCUUUUUGAUCUUGCUGUAAAAAACAGAAACUUUAGCGCUCACAAGAACUGCUGCCAUUUUUAUUUGGAAAGUGCUAUUUAGUUAAUUCUUUUGAAGAUGAUUAAUAGAUAAAUUCCUCACGUCCAGAAAUUUAUUUUAGAAUUUUUGGGGUUCCAUAGUGUAGCGACCCGACCCAAAUGGAUCAAGUCUCUGUGCUUAGGUGCCAUCCCUGGAUCAGUAUGCUGACACACAUAGUACUCGAAGGAUUUAUAACAGAGGUAAAUCACAUGUAUAAAGUAACAUAAAUACUAUUACCUCAAUCCAUAUAGCGGAAGCAACAAGGUUGUGGUUUCCCAUCAACACCAACGGCAAAGUUGAGUGUAGAAAUCGUAACCCUAACGUAUCACUUACUCGUCAUAAGAAACCUGCAACAUAAGACGUUGCAGCCCGAAACGGGUCAGUACAUUGAAUGUACUGGCAAAUUCACACCAUAGAGAAUGAUGAACAAUGGCUAUCACUAUAUGCAUAUUUGGCUGGUGGAAAAGCUCUAUGGUUAUAAGGUUUUUGCGUAAAGCCAAUUUUUCCCUACUGCAAAGGAAUAAAUUUAUUUAACUACCAUGGUGGUUGUGAAACAUUGAGAAUGGUUGACAGCAUUCUCAAUCCCAAUUAAAAAUAAUUAAAACCCAACAACAUUAAUUAGAAGUAACAUGUUGAGAUUCACAUGAUAUUCAAGUACUAGAUACUCAAGUUGUCCAUAACCGGGGACACGGCUAAUCAUGAUUAGUUUGUACACUCUGCAGAGGUUUGCGCACUUUUCCCCACAAGACUCGAUCGCCUCCGUUUGGUUUCUUGCACUACAUGGUGUUUGAGAAGACGGAUGACCGAGACAUAGUCUUUCAGAAGCGCUAGCACCUUACAUGUGGGUAGACCGGUACACCUACUUUCCCCUACAUCUGCUAGUCUACCCGUAAGAGUUCACACAACUUAAUCAACUAUGCCAGAGCCCAUAAUGGCUUGUGGCUGCACACGGAAGUUUCUAGCAUGAAAGAUCUUAUGAUCCCUUUGAGCCUGGGUGGCGGUCCAAAAUAAAACAGGCAAGUCCUGAUAGACAUCAGGUGCCUCAAUCCACCCAGAUGUGUGUUUAAGUUGCCACCUUAGAUAAACCAUUAAAAUUAUCAACUCACAUCUGUCAUGGAUAUCACUCACCCAAUCCACGUCUACUAGCAUAGCAUGGCAUAAUAAGCAAACGUAGAAGUAACUCCCAAAGGUUUCAUAAUAAUACAGGUGAUAGGUACUACCUCAUCUACUUCCCAUCCCACAAUUUAAUUAGAUCCUAAUCAUGCAAUGUGUGAGGAUUGAUCUAAUGCAAUAAAACUGGGUUGUAGAAAAGGUAUGAUCAAAGUGUGAACUUGCCUGCAAUGUAGAUGAAGAUGAUUCUCACUUAAAACUCUUGAGAGAUCUACUCGUCACACUCCGGUCAAUCUAUCGUAAGCAAACAAUAGUAACCACACAAUAAGUACUCAUCUAAUGCACAAGUAAAACUCGAACGAGAGAAACGAACCAGAAUGUUCAAUUUAAGAACUCCGGUUGCAAAGAAAGAACGAACCGAACAAAGAAACGGAAAACAAACAGCGGAAGAAAACAACUCGGUUCUGGCAAGUUGAAUCUAGGUCAAAUUUUACCGGGGCAAAAACUUGUUUAAGUUGAUUAGACGGAACGGCGGUUUCGAAACGAAACUCCAGGCGCUUGAAUCACCUGAUUCCGAUAAACGAGCGAGAGGAUAAACUAGAACGAAGAUCGGAUCUGAGAUCGCGAUCACGGAAUAAAUCCGACGAAAAGAAAGAGACGAACGGUUAAACGAACGGGCAUCGUUAACCGGGAAUAAUUGGUGAUCACGUUCGUUGAGACGAACGGUCCGAAAGAAGAACGAAAACCGAGCUAGGGUUUUCGGAAAAGAAACCGAAAAAGAAAACGGAAAACUGAUCUAGGGUUUCGGAAUAGAAACCGAAAAAGAAAACGGAAAACCGAUCUAGGGUUUCGGAAAAGAAACCGUAACGAAGAAUCGGAGAGAAAAACCGGAAAAUAAAAACCGGAACGGUUUCCUUUAAAAGAACCGAACCGCGGGGAAGAAAAAGAGAGGCGCGGGGCUACCUCCGGCGAGGCGGGGCGAACGGUGGCGACGGCGGCGUGCUAGGGUGGCGGCGGCGCUAUAGGGGCGGUGGCGGCGGGUGAGGGGCGCGGGGCGGCGGGUGAGGGGCGCGGGGUGGGGCGCGGCUUGGGGAGGAGAGGGGGUUUGGGUUUUUGGUGUGAGGAGAGGGGGGGUCUAUGGGGGUAUUUAUAUAGGUGUGGGGAGAGAUUACUUGGGGUAGGGGACAAGAAAUAGACUAGGAAAUAGGAAAAAGAAAACGAAACAAAGGAAAGAGGGGGCUACCGGCCAGAGUCCAAGCCGGACUCGGCUUAGAGCGAGGCGGCGGCGCUGCCUGCCUGGCGCUGGCGCGCGGGAGGCUGGGGUGGCCGGCUGGCUGGGCCUUUGGCCCGGCUGGCCUGGCGGGAUUCCUUCUUUUUUUUAAACUGGUUCCGCGCGCAGAGAAAAAAACAAAAAGAGAACUAAACGAACUCCGAAAAAUCUAAAGUAAAUUUUCCCCGACUCCUAAAAAUGAGCCGAACAAAAUGAACUUUUCUCCGCACCUAAAAUGCAAUUUUUGAAAACACGCAUUUUUCCCUAUCCAAAUAAAAUGCGAAUAAACACCGGAAAACAAAAUUUGAUCUAUUUAUUAAAUCUUCAUUUUUCCUCAAUUUGGAAAAGUCAUAUUAUUCCCUCUCUUAUAUAUUUUUUUGAUAUCGGAAAAUAAUUGAAGAUGAAAUAAAUAAAUCAAAUGAUCCUCUUUUCAAAUUCGAGAAAACUCUCAAAUAUGAAAAUAACGAAAUCUCCAACUCUCUCCGAAGGUCCUUGAGUUGCGUGAAAUUUCUAGGAUCGACCAAAAUGCAAAAUAAGGUAUGCAUGAUGAUCUAAUGUAUAACAUUCCAAAUUGAAAAUUUGGGAUGUUACACAUAGUGUGCGUUAGCUACAGAUUACUACAGACUGUUCUGUUUUUGACAGAUUCUGUUUUUCAUGUGUUGUUUGCUUAUUUUGAUGAAUCUAUGGCUAGUAAAAGAGUUUAUAAACCAUAGAGAAGUUGAAAUACAGUAGGUUUAACACCAAUAUAAAUAAAUAAUGAGUUCAUUACAGUACCUUGAAGUGGUGUUUUGUUUUCUUUCGCUAACAGAGCUCACGAGAUUUUCUAUUUUGAGUUUUGUGUUGUGAAGUUUUCAAGUUUUGGGUAAAGAUUUGAUGGAUUAUGGAACAAGGAGUGGCAAGAGCCUAAGCUUGGGGAUUCCCAUGGCACCCAAAGGUGAAAUUCAAGGACACCAAAAAUCCUAAGCUUGGGGAUGCCCCGGAAGGCAUCCCCUCUUUCGUCUUCGUCUAUCGGGAACUUUACUUGGAGCUAUAUUUUUAUUCACCACAUGACAUACGUUUCGCUUGGAGCGUCUUGUAUGAUUUGAGUCUUUUAUUUUUAGUUUACCACAAUCAUCCUUGCUGUACACACCUUUUGAUAGAGACUCACAUAAUUUGAAAUUUAUUAGAAUACUCUAUGUGCUUCACUUGUAUCUUUUGAGCUAUAUAGUUUAUGCUCUAGUGCUUCACUUAUAUCUUUUAGAGCACAGUGGUGGAUUUGUUUUAUAGAAACUACUGUUCUCUCAUGCUUCACUUAUAUUAUUUUGAGAGUCCUUUAGAACAACAUGGAAAUUUGCUAUAAUAUAAAAACUUCCAUAGAAGUUCAUUGAAUACUAUGAGAAGUUUGAUACUUGAUAAUUGUUUUGAGAUAUGGAGAUGGUGAUAUUAGAGUCAUGCUAGUUGAGUAGUUGCAAAUUUGAGAAAUACUUGUGUUAAAGUUUGUGAUUCCCGUAGCAUGCACGUAUGGUGAACCGUUAUGUGAUGACGUCGGAGCAUGAUUUAUUUAUUGAUUGUCUUCCUUAUGAGUGGCGAUCAGGGACGAGCGAUGGUCUUUUCCUACCAAUCUACCCACCUAGGAGCAUGUGUGUAAUACUUUGUUUUGAUAACUAAUAGAUUUUUGCAAUAAGUAUGUGAGUUCUUUAUGACUAACGUUGAGUCCAUGGAUUAUACGCACUCUCACCCUCCCACCAUUGCUAGCCUCUCUAGUAUCGUGCAACUUUUGCCGGUACCAUAAACCCACUAUAUACCUUCCUCAAAACAGCCACCAUACCUACCUAUUAUGGCAUUUCCAUAGCCAUUCCGAGAUAUAUUGCCAUGCAACUUUCCACCGUUCCGUUAUUAUGACACACUUCAUCAUUGUCAUAUUGCUUGCAUGAUCAUGUAGUUGACAUCAUAUUUGUGGCAAAGCCACCAUUCACAAUUCUUCAUACAUGUCACUCAUGCAUCAUUGCACAUCCCGGUACACCACCAGAGGCAUUCACAGAGAGUCAUAUUUUGUUCUAAGUAUUGAGUUGUAAUUCUUGAGUUGUAAGUGAAUAAAGUGUGAUGAUCAUCAUUAUUAGAGCAUUGUCCCAAGUGGGGAAAGGAUGAUGGAGACUAUGAUUCCCCCACAAGUCGGGAUGAGACUCCAGACUAAAAAAAGAAAAGAGGCAAAAAAAGAAGGCCCAAAUAAAAAAUGAGAGAAAAAGAGAGAAGGGACAAUGCUGCUAUCCUUUUUCCACACUUGUGCUUCAAAGUAGCACCAUGAUCUUCAUGAUAGAGAGUCUCCUAUGUUAUCACUUUCAUAUACUAGUGGGAAUUUUUCAUUAUAGAACUUGGCUUGUAUAUUCCAGUGAUGGGCUUCCUCAAAAUGCCCUAGGUCUUCAUGAGCAAGCAAGUUGGAUGCACACCCACUUAGUUUCAUUUGUUGAGCUUUCAUAUACUUAUAGAUCUAGUGCAUCCGUUGCAUGGCAAUCCCUACUCACUCACAUUGAUAUCUAUUAAUGGUGGGCAUCUCCAUAGCAAAUUGAUAUGCCUAGUUGAUGUGAGACUAUCUUCUCCUUUUUGUCUUCUCCACAACCACCAUUCUAUUCCACAUAUAGUGCUAUAUCCAUGGAUCACGCUCAUGUAUUGUGUGAAGAUUGAAAAAGUUUGAGAACAUCAAAAGUAUGAAACAAUUGCUUGGCUUGUCAUCGGGGUUGUGCAUGAUUUAAAUAUUUUGUGUGGUGAAGAUAGAGCAUAGCCAGACUAUAUGAUUUUGUAGGGAUAACUUUCUUUGGCCAUGUUAUUUUGAGAAGACAUAAUUGCUUAGUUAGUAUGCUUGAAGUAUUAUUAUUUCUAUGUCAAUUUUAAACUUUUAUCUUGAAUCUUUCGGAUCUGAACAUUAAUGCCACAAUAAAGAAAAAAUACAUUGAGAAAUAUAUUAGAAAGCAUUCCACAUCAAAAAUUCUUCUUUUAUCAUUUACCUACUUGAGGACGAGUAAGAAUUAAGCUUGGGGAUGCUUGAUACAUCUCCAACGUAUCUAUAAUUUUUGAUUGCUCCAUGCUCUUAUAUUAUCUAUUUUGGAUGUCAAUGGGCUUUAUUUUACACUUUUAUAUCAUUUUUGGGACUAACCUACUAACCAGAAGCCCAACCCAAAUUGAUGUUUUUUUGCCUAUUUUAGGGUUUCGUCGAAAAGGAUAUCAAACGGAGUCCAAAAGAAAUGAAACCUUUGGGAACGUGAUUUUCUCAACAAACAUGAUCCAGNNNNNNNNNNNNNNNNNNNNNNNNNNNNNNNNNNNNNNNNNNNNNNNNNNNNNNNNNNNNNNNNNNNNNNNNNNNNNNNNNNNNNNNNNNNNNNNNNNNNNNNNNNNNNNNNNNNNNNNNNNNNNNNNNNNNNNNNNNNNNNNNNNNNNNNNNNNNNNNNNNNNNNNNNNNNNNNNNNNNNNNNNNNNNNNNNNNNNNNNNNNNNNNNNNNNNNNNNNNNNNNNNNNNNNNNNNNNNNNNNNNNNNNNNNNNNNNNNNNNNNNNNNNACAAGUCCACGUACCCCCCAAACAUCCAGGAGCACCACGAAAACCUAAUUCCACCGCCACAACCUUAUGUACCUGAGAGAUCCCAUCUUGGGGCCUUUUCCGGAGCUCCGCCGGAGGGGGCAUUGAUCAUGGAGGGCCUCUACAUCAACUCCAUGGCCUCUCCGGUGAUGCGUGAGUAGUUUAUUUCAUACCUACGGGUCCAUAGUUAUUAGCUAGAUGGCUUAUUGUCUUUGUUUGGAUCUCAAUACAAAGUUCUCCUCGAUUCUCUUGGAGAUCUAUUCGAUGUAAUCUUCUUUUGCGGUGUGUUUGUCGAGAUCAGAUGAAUUGUGGGUUCAUGAUCCAAAUUAUCUAUGAACAAUAUUUAAUUCUCCUCUGAAUUAUUUUAUGUAUGAUUGGUUUAUAUUUGCUAGUCUCUUCGAAUUAUCAGUUUGGUUUGGCCUACUAGAUUGAUCUUUCUUGCAAUUGGACUAUGGGAGAAGUGCUUAGCUUUGGGUUCAAUCUUGCGGUGCUCGAUCCCAGUGACAAAAAGGGAACCGACACAUAUUGUAUUGUUGCCAUCAAGGAUAAAAAGAUGGGGUUUAUAUCAUAUUGCAUGAAUUUAUCCCUCUACAUCAUGUCAUCUUCCUUAAAGCAUUACUCUGUUCUUAUGAACUUAAUACUCUAGAUGCAUGUUGGAUAGCAGUCGAUGUGUGGAGUAAUAGUAGUAGAUGCAGAAUCGUUUCAGUCUACUUGUCUCGGACGUGAUGCCGAUAUACAUGAUCGUACCUAGAUAUUCUCAUAACUAUGCUCGAUUCUAUUAAUUGCUCGAUAGUAAUUCGUUUACCCACCGUAAUACUUAUGCUCUUGAGAGAAGCCACUAGUGAAAUCUAUGGCCCCCGGGUCUAUCUUUCAUCAUAUUAAUCUUCCAAUACUUAUUUAUUUCUUUUGCCUUUUAUUUUUCUUUGCAUCUUUAUCAUAAAAAUACGAAAAAUAUUAUCUUAUCAUGUCUAUCAGAUCUCACUCUCGUAAGUGACCAUGAAGGGCUUGACAACCCCUUUAUCGCGUUGGUUGUGAGGUUCUUAUUUGUUUAUGUAGGUGCCUGGGACUUGAGCGUGAUCUCCUACUGGAUUGAUACCUUGGUUCUCAAAAACUGAGGGAAAUACUUACGCUACUUUGUUGCAUCAGCCUUUCCUCUUCAAGGGAAAAACCAACAGAGUGCUCAAGAGGUAGCACAUACCACGAGAGGUCGACGCGUGGGGAUGGCGGUGGACCAUGGGCCGCAGCGCUACAGCCCGAAGGGGCGAUGCAGCAGCGGCAGCAGGAGGGAAGGGGCGACGGUGGGAAGACCUUAGGGCGGCAGCAGGGACCGCGGGCCACGGCGCUAUAGCCCGAAGGGGCGGCACAGCGGCGGAGCGCGGGUCGAUGCAACCAUAGGGACGGCCUCGGGCGGUGGGGGGACCACAUAGCACUACGGCCUGAAGGGGCGACGCGCGAGUCGAUGCAACCGUGAGGAGAAUUGUGGGGCGGUGUCGCGUCGGCCCGACGGGGCGAUGCAGCGGCAUCCCGUUGCUCAAUCGGUGGAGGGGCGCGCUGAACUUGAGGAUGAUAUUCACAGGACCUUCGGAUGCAUGCGCAACCCACGGGCCAGGUCGGUCACGCGGUGUAUAUGAGGCGGAUAGCGGCGAAGAGCCAGUGAUCAACCGAUCGCGCGUGAGGUCGGGGACACCGCUCGGUUGAGGCGGGGUGGCGACGGAGUCCAAGAUGAGCCCGAUAAUGACGGACAUCGUGGGGCAUCAUGCGGACGAGCGUGUCAGCACUGGCACCUAGGCUGGCAUAGUAGCGCCGACGCCCGGCCAGUGAGGCUCGAGCGACCAACGAAGCAGCGGCGCCUGAGCUCAAGGUAGCCGACCAGCCUGACGCAGCCGGUCCGACGCAGCUGGGGACGAGGCCGGCGAGGAACACUGCAGGGCUGUCGUGUAGACGAGGUGGCGACGGGUGGCGAUGGACGGCGUGGAUCGACGGGCAGGCCAGUGUGCGAACGGCGGCCGUGAUGGACCGCCGCAUCGUGUGAGGCCACUGGGUUGGGGCGAUGCAGGAGACCUAUCGGAGUAGGGCGGCAACAGCCGGCGCAAGGCGACGGGCGGGCCGAUGCAUGGACGGCGGGUGGCCCUGACGGGCCGCCUCGGCACGCGUGACCGUCGGGUCGGAGGAGAGGCCGGCCGGUCGCGCCGGGGUCGGAGUAGAGGCGCGUUGGUGUCGACGGCGGUGGCGGCGGCGGGCGACGCAAACCGAUCAAGCAUAGAUCGAAAAACCAAAAUGAAAACGCCAAUCAAAACGACCGGCGAGAGAGAGAGAGAGAGAGAGAGAAAUCCGGAGCAAUGGCUCGGGAAAAAGACUCUCUAGGUUAGCCGGUCAACAUGACCGGCGGAUGAACCCUUGGUACGGGUGGCGCAGCCCCCAGCGGCGCUCAUGGAGGCCGACCGCCCCGGGGUGGUGUAAUACCCUGGUUUUUGGCCCUUUCUUUUUCUAUUGAUUUAUUUGGGUUUUGUUCCGUUUUUCUUUUUGGAGCAGUUCUUUGGACUUGAAACCUGGGAGAUCAUCAUCUUUUCUUCUCUCGAGUGGCUCAUCAUUCUCAAAUCUUUCCCAAUACCAUGUCAUUUCCAUUCUAGCCCAACCCCAAAAUUAUUUUCUAAGGAACAUUUCUUUUUCUAUUAAUAGAAUAAUCCUAUUUUCCCUAGGUUGUGAAGCAACCUAUAUUUCUGUCACUCCCAAAAUUUCCAAAUAAUUCUCAUAAUUUCGUUGGGUCAUAUAUUGCACAAAUAUGCCCAAACUUUCCUUUCCUAGCCCAAAAAUAAUUCCCCGAUAUUAUUUCUUCAUUUCUGUUCAUAGUGGCUUUCUGUGAAGGAAGUGCCACCUAUCUUUUCUUUCUUGCACCCAAACUUUUUGGCAUGCUCUUUCAUCAAAAUAAUUGCCUCAUGCCAAAAUUCAACUUCAUUUACCUAGCCAAUCUUCCUCGGGAAUUUUUCCAAGUUUUUGUCACAUAGAAGCUAUUGUGAAGGAAGUACUAGCUAGGGUUAUCAAAACGAGUUGAAACUUUGCAUCCUUCUUCAUGUGCUCAUAUUAUCACACUCUACCAAUUUUCAGCUCCAUCCCUUGAUCUAUGUGAGCACAUGAUCAAAUCUUUGAUUCUGUUAAUAUUUUUAGGUUGUGAAGCAAGUAUAUUCUAUAUUGCUUCAUUAAUUCUGAGAAAUUACCAGAUCAUGCUCCUACCAAUAUCCCUUCUCUCCAAAACUAUCUCAAGUUUCUGGACAGAGAGGAUAGCUCUGAAGGAAAUACCAUUUUGCAAGUCUAAAUGGUAUGAAAUUUUUACGGCAUCUUUAUAUGUCUAAAUCAUCAUGAUCUACCAAAUUUCAGCCUAACCCAAUGCACCAUGUGAGAGCAUCAUCCUAUUCUCUUUUCUGGACCUAAAUUGCAGUUGAAAAGCAACUGUGUUAAUUUGUGCUCCGUUUCUUGUCUAACUCCACAGGAUGAUAGUCCUCCCUAUGCUAAACACCCUAGACAUCAUCUUUGGCCCUUAGCUUCUCCUUGUUGAUCACAGUAACAUGAUCAAGUUUGCUACAACAAACUUUCAUCGAAUCCUCACAUCUCUCCUUGGCUCCUUCUCUUGAUAUUUCACCUCUGGGCUACCUUGGGGAGCAAGGACUAGCCACCAGACAAGGUUUUCCAGCCCCUCUUGUCCUCUCCUUGCCAUGCCAGGUGGUGACCACGCGGUUUGGCACCUGUGCACGCACUCUGCAGGUCGAGUCCGCGUCCAGAGCGCUAUUUUGCUCGAGUCACUUCGCCUCUGGUCGUCUUCGUGCGCGUGAGCAUGUCUAGCAGUUUCCUCGUGGCAUUGUCUUCGCUCUAGAAGCCUCCCUCCUCCGGCACCUUCCUUGUCGACGCUAGCCGCCGCGUGCACAUGGGCGAACAGUGCCCCGACCGGCUCUGUUCGUCGCUCGUCCUCUUCCUUCCCUGCGCUCUCCCAUCCUCUCCCUCGCUCCCGUGACACUCCCAGCCAUCGCCAGAGCAGGCCCAUGUGCCCAUGGUGGCACCCGAGCUCUGGACCCUUCGCCCUGCCUAUUUAAGCCACCACGGAGCUCGUUUCUCUUUGCCCCUCCACCUCUCUGCAUCCCAAUCACUCUCUGGAGUCCAACAGCGAGGCCAGCGAGCCCUCUUCCUCCUCUCCGGCGAGGUGCCUCUCCACGUGGCCUCUGCUCUGGCCCAACUCCUCCAGUGCAUCUCCACUCGAGCACCACUACCAUCGAGUUCCUCUUCCUCCAUUGAUCCUCCUCGACCACUUCCUCGGCCCAAUCAUCGCCGGGAUCGUCGACUUCGCCGGUGCCUGAAGCAUGCGGUCGCCGGAGAUGAAGGGGACGAUGUCGUCCGGCCACCUCCCGAGGAGCUGCGGGUACGGGCGUGACCGCCGUCGAGCGCCCGAUCCAUCCCCACAUUCGCCCAGCUCCACCGUGGACUCUACGCCGGCCAUUCAUCAUCGGUGAGCCGCCUCGCCUCUGUCUGUCUAUCUGUCUCUCUCUCAUUAUAAACCUGCUAGGAGGGCCCCACUCAUCCAUCUCUCAUCCCCCUACCGAACUACUCCCUCUGUCCCAGAAUAUAAGAACGUUUUUGACACUAUGCUACUGUUAAAAACGUUCUUAUAUUUUGGGGCGGAGGGAGUAUUUUCUAAGUGGAGGCGUAAGCCCACUUUACGCCUUCGACGUCACCCCCUGGGGAUUUUCUGAAAUUCUAUUUAAAUCAAUUUAAAUCCAGAUUUGAUUCAACUUUGACCAUGAAUAACUCCUAAACUACAAGUCCAAAUGAACUGAUUCUUUUUGCAUUAUUUUCUGUUGAGCUCCUCUAUUUUCUGGUAGAAUUUGGUAUUUUUCUCUAUUGUCUAAAUUUUCUAGACAGAGAAAAACGCAUUGUGGAUUAUUUACCAAAUCUUUCAAAAAUGUUUUUCAGUAGGUUUUUGUGUGCUUGAUGAAGACAAGGUGCUUUCCACUUCUUCUUGAAUCAUGGCAAGCCACACCCUCCAUUUGCAUGAUUGCAAUGCAAUAAUAUGGUUUAUUUAAUUUAAUUUUCUUAAAAUAUUGCAUUAGUUAUUAAUGAAUUGUCCAUGGCACUUUUUGGAGUUAUCUUGAUCCUGUUGUUGCCAUGGUAUUGCUUUGAUUUCUAGGACUAAUAUUUUGCAGAUGGUGGAUGACAUGUUGCCAUUGGAUUAACUGUGGUUGUGGUUAUUAUUUUCUUUAUGACAGUAAUUGAUAUUAUGAUUUGGAGUAUUAUUCAUAUCAUGUCGAUCUUAGGGUAAUAUUUUGAUCUUGCUAUUCGAUUAGUAGUAUCUUGAUUCUUGGAUUCAUCAUGACAGUAGUGUUAUGCUAUCCUCGGAGUAUUUUUGACAUGAUGAAAUUAUACUAUGGAUUAUUUGUUGGAUAUAGCUAUGACUUGGAUUACAGGUUGAUAGAUGAUAUUGAAGUAUCAAUUAUUGCAGAUCUAUCUUGGGGAUAAAUUCUGUCAUUUCAUUGGUCAGGUGCCACCGAACCGGGGUUUUUCAGUGCAACCACAUUUGCCUUUAUGGGAAGGCCCGAGUGCGGUCUAAUGUUAUGCCUCUCGCUGGUGCCUCCAACUAGGGAAGGUUAUGUGCGUGUGCUACCCUGGCCCGGUAGGCAGCGAUAACCUUGUGUGCCCGUAGUUUUAGGGCCCUUUGUCCCCAUUAGGACUAUGUAUGUUUUGCCACGACGCUGGCUGUUGGAUGUCCAGAGUGGCAUCGGGGCCACCCAUGACUGAACCAAAAGGGGAGUUGGUCGAAGUGGCCGGGAGAGUGUCAUGGCAGUAGAUUGGUUUUAUCAAAACGCCAUUGGUCCACCUGAAUGGGAGCAUGAGGCCAUGGGUUCUGUGAUGUGGGUACAGUGUGCUAACCUCUGCAGUGUGUGUUUAAUCUAUCGAUAGCCGCAUCCUCGGUCAUGGGCACAAGUUCGUACUAGGUCACACCGUUCAAUCAACACUCACAUGAAAGAAUGACUUAUAGGUGAUUUAUAUGUUGAUAUAAUUUGAGAAGUACAGUUUGGCAGGAUGCUGAUGAUGAUAUUGGGAUGAUCGUGAGGAUGAUCAUUCAAUUUGUGAUGUGGUCACGCGGUGAUCAUGUGGAGGUAUUGAUCACGAGGUGAUCGAGGUUGUUUUGUUGCUUGGCCAGUUAGCCAAUAGUGAGAUGGUUCAUGAGAUCUGAGAUGGUGGUUCAGUAGUAAUUCUAGUAGCAUCAUAUCAUGCUUAGUAGUUGCUUUCUCAUCAUAGUAGUUGAUAAUAAGUUAACAUGUUAAUGCUAUGUUAUUGUCUUUCCUUGAUGCUUUUGGUUAUUGUGAGCUUGCAAGUACAUUCAAUGUACUGACCUGGCGUGUCAUGCCAGAUUGCAGGUGAUGUCAUAAUUGAUUGUUUGUCGAGGUUUCCGUUCAUGCGAGCUAUAUCAAAUCCCAGCCAGAGUCCCUGCGGAGUGGAGUUCACCACCUUCGUCGUUGUUCCCUGCUAGAAGUAUUCCGCUGCUACGAGUUGUUUCGCUGCUAGCAUAGAGCUAGCUUAGUAGGCAUAGUGUCGUCGUGCUGAUGUGAUCCUUUGUAAGAUCAAACCUUUUGUAUCCAUUAUCCUUUUUAAUAAGAGAUGAUUUGUUCUAUGUCGAGCAGUGUCGUAUUCCAGAAGACCUACCUCGAUCUUUGGGCUGGAAUACGAGGCGUUCCAGUCUCUCUAAGCCUGGUGCCAUAGGUGGCGCACGGGGCGGAAGCGGUGGGCGGCGGCUAGGGUUUGGAUCGGUUAGGCUGAUACCAUGUUAGAUGGGAGAGAGAGGGAUUGUUGUGGAAUAUGAUGGAUGAUUAUUGAGCCUCAAGGGCGAGUAUAUAUUGAGUACAAGACUUGGAGGGCAAGAAUCCUCUCCUGGAGAUAAGGUAGGAGAUGGAUUACAAAUCCUAGACUACCAAAUACAAGUAACCCAAAUAUAUCUCUAAGACACUCAAAUAUAAAUAUAAGUCAUUCUGUCAUCGUAAGUGUUGAUCGAAUAGUAUGACCUAGUAUGAAUUGUGUCCAUGAUCGAGGACGUGGCUAUUCGAAUAGAUUGUACACUCUGCAGAGGUCGCACAUUUUCCUCACGCUAUGGAGCUCUUGGCCUCGUAUUUUAGUUCAUACUCCCAUCCAGGUGGACCAGCGCUGCUGCAACAAAAACUGAUCUAUUGCAUGACACUCUUACGACCACUCUGACAUACCCCUUUUUGGGCCAUGUCAUGGGUGUGCCUGUUGUCACCAUGUGACAUCCGGCCACCACCGUGGCUAAACAAAACUGUCCCAAAUGCGGACCUUGGAUAUCCAUAUAACUUGGGCUCACAAGUUUAUCGCCGCCUGUCGAGCUAGGGUAGCACACACAUAUAACCUUCCCUCAUUGGAGGUACCAGUAAGAAGCACGGCAAUAGCUCAAGUUAGGUCCUCCCCAUCCAAGAAAAUGUGGCUACACUGGUGCGCUCGAUUCAGUGGCACUUGAUCAACGAAAUGACGGAAUUUAUCCCAAAGAUAUACCUCUCUCAUAAUUGUUACUCCAAUAUCAUAUAUCACCCUGUCAUCAAAGUCAGAACAAUAUGAAACUAAUAAUCCAAUAAUAAUAUAGUCAUAUCAUUUCUACUAACUCCAUAAGCAAUGAUAUCAAGUAUCCUCAUGUUCAUAAUAAAAGUGCAACUAUUAAUCCUUAUAAUAUAAAGUGAUCAUGGCAAUAUCAAGCUUACAAUCCAAUAAAGAACAUCACCAUGACAUUCCUACUACUCCACAAUUAUAAUACUAAAUAUUCCCAAGGUAUCUCAUGAUCAUAAUGAAAUCAUAGUAAAUGAUCCUACAAAUCCAAAGGUAACAUGGCAAUAUCCAACUUGUAAACUACUAGUCAUAUCCAAUCCAAUUAUGAAUAUGGCAGUAGCAAAUCCAAUAAUACUCCAAGAAUUGCCAUGAAUAAGCCAUUAUCAAAUAAUUCAAAUUAAAUCAAGGUUUAUUAUGUUAAACCAUGGCAUUCCAUUGCAAUCAGGCAAGUGGAGGGUGUGGCUUGCCUUGCUCCAAGAGAGUGAGGACAAUACUCCUGGUCUUCACAUACAAUUAAAUCACUCUAGAAAACAUUAGUAGCAAGAAGAAUAAAUACCACAUAAAGCAAUUUCUUCUAUCAAUAAAAUCUAGAUAGAAGAGAAAAAUGUUAGCUUCUAACAGAAAAUAAAGGAGCUCAAAAGAAAAAUACUACAAAAAGAAUCAAAUCAUUUGGACUUAUAGAUUAGGAGAUAUAGCUGGUCAAAGAUCUGGUCAAACUAGAUAAAAAUGAAUUGAACAGAUUUUAUGGAAUUUCCUGGAGAUGCUGACGACGAAGGUGUGAAGCUAGAAUACGCUUUCACUUGAAAAUGUUUCAGCGCGGCCAGGGUCACUGACUAGUGGGUCCCUUUGGUUAGAUUUAAAUGAAGAAAGAGAGAGAGGCAGUGUGGCGAGCUCACUUGCAAUGGUCGUCCGACGAGGAGGUCAGAGGAGGUGGGAAUGGGAAAAGGUCUCAACGGUGAGUAGCCUCAUACCCGUGGCUCAUCGGGAGGUUAACGGGCAGCGUCGAGCUCUUCGUCUCAAGCGGCGCAGGCUACGUUGGUCUUCGAGAUCGUUGAUUCCAUCUCAAAUUUGAUCGGAGGGGAUAAUUGGGGUUGGGGUUCGCUAGAGUAGGCGGGGGCAGCGAAGGGCGAGCGAUAAAGUUGUGGCUCGAUCCAUGGCAAGAGGCUUUCCAGCCUUGCUCUUGCUGCUAGGAGGAGAAUAGAGGAUGAAGGAUAGCUACUGAGGAGAAUGAGCAAGGCCGAGGUGCUCCUUUUAUAGCCCGGUCAGGAUGUCAUGGCCAGAAACCUCCACGGACGUGUGGUUGAUGUUGUGGCACGAGCGGUGUGUUGUGGGGCCAUUGAGGUUGACGAGAGAGGGCAGAGGGUCAAGGAUGUAGGCAGGCAAUGCUAGGGACGCGAGGCAGGGUGACGUGGGAGUAGAGGUUAUCGGCCACCCAAGCUGCAUUGUUUCUUCGUGGAGGUGGUGGCUCGGGUAUGGCCAGGGCGAUGUAGGAGGGGGAGAGGGUUCAAGAGGGCUAGGUGGAUGAUGGGGGAGCUAGGUGGCACACUGCGGCAACAAGGGCGGCCGAGAAGAGGGCUGGGUGACGAGACCCGACGUUGGCGCGGCGUGGAGCACAUGCUUCGGCAUGCCAUCAACCCGGUCACUGCCUGCACUGACACGUGCAUGGUGACUCAGCAUGGCCAACCAUGUCUAGGGCAUUGUCGCUUCACCUAGUGACCCCAUUGCAGCUUUGGUUCGAUUAAAGUAGCUCUGUGCUGAUCAAUUGCACCAAUUAAAGUUUUUGGCAGCAAGGUUAGAUAGGAUCCUAGGGUCAAAUGACAAGGUUAAUUAGGGAUAAAUGUUGUCAAAGGGAUUUAGGGUAGUAAGGACCAUAAGCUGGACAAUUUGCCAAGAAGUUGGACAAGGUUUGAAUGCAGUUGUUUCACAACUGUAAAAAUAGGCCCAAGACUAGGUUUUGAAGCUGCACUCACAUGGAGUGUUGGAUUGAGAUGAAAUUUCAUAGAGUAUGAUGAUUUAGGUAUAUGGAGACACUGGAUUUUUUUAACUCAUUUGUAUACUCCUAGCUAGCACUUCUUUCACAAUGCUUCUUUCUAGAUAGAAGCUUUGGGAAUUUGCUGAGGUAGAUUGGCUAGGAAAAUGUAGCUGAAUUUUGGCAUUUAGCAAUUAAAUGGAUAGGAUGGAGUUCUCGAAAAGUUUUAGUGUAAUCAGGCGAAGAUAAAUAGUACUUCCUUCAUAAAUUACCAUUUUGGACAAAAUAAAAAAUGAAUAUUCCUAAAUUAUUUUUGAACUAGACAAAGUAGGGUUUUGUCAUAUUUGGAGAAUAUAUUAUCCCAUGGAUUUAUCAGAAUUUUCUUGGGAUUUAUGGCAAGGAAAAAAUAUAGGUUGCUUCACAACCUAGGGAAAACAUGAUUAUUCCUUUAAUAGAAAAGGGAAUAUUUAAAUGGAAUGGAAAUUGUGCUUGGGCUUGGAUGUUCAUGACAUGAUCUUGGGAAAGAUUUGAGAGUGUGGAACCACUUGGGAGAAUAAGUAAUGGGGAUCUUUGAGGGAGUCCUGGACUAAGGGGUCCUCGGACGUCUGGCCUGUUGUCUAUGGGCCGGAUUGAUGGGCUGUGAAGAUACGAAGACCGAAGACUACACCCGUGUACGGAUAGGACACUCCUUGGCGAACAACUAUGAAGAUUUCAUCUUAUGUAACCGACUCUAUGUAACCCUAGAUCCCCCCGAUGUCUAUAUAAACCGGAGGGUGUAGUUCGAAUAGGGGAUACUCAAUACCGUAGUCAUACAAGCUAGACUUCUAGGGUUUAGCUAUUACGAUCUCAUGGUAGAUCAACUCUUGUAACACUCAUAUUCAUAAAGAUCAAUCAAGCAGGAAGUAGGGUAUUACCUCCAUAGAGAGGGCCUGAACCUGGGUAAACAUCAUGUCCCCUGUCUCCUAUUACCAUCAACCUUAGACGCACAGUUCGGGACCCCUACCCAAGAUCUGUCGGUUUUGACACCGACAUUGGUGCUUUCAUUGAGAGUUCCUCUGUGUUGUCGCUGAAAGGUUUGAUGGCCCCCUUCAAUCGUCAAUAAUGGUGCUGUCUGCGGAGAAACAUUCCUCCCCGAACAGAUCUUUGUGUUCGGCGGCUUCGCACUGCGGGCCAACUCGUUUGGCCAUCUGGAGCAGAUCGAAAGCUACGCCCUUGGCCAUCAGGUCAGAUUCGGGAGCUUGAACUACGUCGCGGACAUCCGUGGAGACUUGAUCUUUGCCGGAUUCGAUACCGCGGUAGCUGCUCCCGAUCACCCUGAUGAUCAUGACUUAAAUUUAUCACCAGGCCGCAUCCAGGAGAUCGCUCCUGUAACCGCUCUGGCCCUAGAGCCGGAGCAGGCCGCGCCAUUCAAAGAUGGGAGGAUUAACCCCACCAUGGAGGCCGCAGAUUCCACGGCGUUGGAGCCGCACAUGGACCUGGUCUCACUCGAUGCCUAUGCCACCGGAACACCGGACUUGUCUCCGGCUGUAGGUUCCGAACCACGCGAGCCUGUGGAUGCCGAGCUUGAUCGUUUAUCGAUCUUCAAAUUUAGCACUCAUUAAAAAGUCUGUCCUUAGCGGAGGACUCUCAGCCGAACUAUAUCCGGCUCGAACUAGGGGCUGACGAUGGAGAAUUUCGCUUCCCACCCGCCACCCACUUUAUAGCCAUGGUCCAGGAUUUGACCGACGAACUUGAUUACGACUCCGAGGACAUCGACGAUAUGGACGAUGAUGCCGGAAAAGAAGAAGACCAGAACCCGCCUUCAUCGAAUGCUGGACGGCCACUUCCUCGUAUGAUGUAUACAUGGUGGAUGCACCAAAGGAAAACAGCGGCGAUGACAAGGAAGACCUAGUUGAGGAUAAACCUUCCGAAAUACGGUCCAAGCGCCGGUGUCAGCGGUGCCGCUCUAAGUCACGCCGCAGUAAAGAUAGCAACACCGGCACAGGAGAAGAUGACACUCCAGAAGCUACUGAAGACAACGAAGACCCUGUUGACACAACAAACGAACAAGACGAACGGCAAGAUGCGCAGGUUAGCCCUAUUAAACAGGCCACACACAAAGAUUCGGAGGGCGACAGUUACCUUCCGCUCUCCGAGGAUGAGGUGAGCCUUGGCACCGAGGAUUUCAUCGUGCCCGAGGAGCCUCUUGAGCAGGAGGGCUUCAAGCACCAGCUAAUAGCCACAGCAAGGAGCCUGAAAAAGAAGCUGCAGUAGCUUCAAGCUGAUCAGGAUCUGCUCAAUGAUAAAUGGACUGAUGUCCUAGCAGCCGAAGAAUACGACCUCAAGCGCCCAACCAAAAUCUACCCAAAGCUUAAAUUGCUACCUUAGUUCGACGAGGAGGCGCCGGAGUAUAUACCACCAUCGUACACUGCGGCUGACCGGCCACCGCGUGGCCGGGACAAAACGGCAACCCAUGCCAAACACCAGCCCGCCCCGCCUCGUCACUCAGGCAAAGGUAAAUUAGCCCACGGCCAUACAUAUGACCUCCGGCAGAACCUGAACAAUAAAGCAGGACCUACCAGAUCAAUCUACGGAUCACGAGGACGCACCUCGACACGUGACAACGGCCACCUAUUCGGACGUGACAAACCCAGUCAUGCGCAGGCCAAACACCGUAGACGGACUUCAUCAGAGCUGCAUCAUGAUACAUCCCGAUACAUAGGCCCUACACACCCUCAUUGCUUCACUGAUGAGGUCAUGUAUCAUGAAUUCCCCGAAGGAUUCAAGCCCAUGAACAUAGAAUCAUACGAUGGGACCACGGACCCCAUGGUGUGGAUCGAAGACUUCAUUCUCCACAUCCAUAUGGCACGCGGAGAUGACCUCCACGCCAUCAAAUACCUCCCUCUCAAACUCAAGGGGCCUGCUCGGCAUUGGCUAAAUAGUCUGCUUGACAAUUGUAACAUCCCAAAUUUUCAAGUUGGAAUGUUAUACAUAUAUCAUCAUGCAUAUCAUAUUUUCUUGCAUUUUGGUUGAUCCUAGAAAUUUCACGCAACUCAAGGACCCUCGGAGAGAGUUGGAGAUUUCGAUAUUUUCAUAUUUGAGUUUUUCUCAAAUUUUGAAAACAGGAUCAUUUGAUUUAUUUAUUUUAUCUUCAAUUAUUUUUCCGGUGUCAAAAUAUAUAAGAGAGGGAAUAAUAUGACUUUCCCAAAUUUUGGAAAAAUGAAGAUUUAAUAAAUAGAUCAAUUUUGUUUUGCUGGAGUUUUGUUUGCGUUUUAUUUGGAUAGGGAAAAAUGCACGUUUUCGAAAAUUGCAUUUUAGGCCCGGAGUAAAGUUCAUUUUGUUCGACUCAUUUUUAGGAGUCAGGGAAAAUUUACUUUAGAUUUUUCGGAGUUCGUUUAGUUCUCUUUUUGUUUUUUUUUCUGCGCGCGAAACCGAUUUGAAAAAAAAGGAGCCUCCCGCCAGGCCCGCCGGGCCAAAGGCCCAGCCAGCCGGCCCCUCCCCUCGCGCACAGCACAGGCGCCAGGCGCCAGGCGCCCAGGCAGCCGCAGCCGCUCCCUGGCCGAGUCCCAGUGGGACUUAGGUCGGUUAGCCCCUCCCCUUUCCUUGUUUCUUUUUCUUUUGCUUUCCUAUUCCUAGUCUAUUUCUUGUCCCCUACCCCAAGUCUCCUCUCCCCUCACCUAUAUAAAUACCCCCACACCCCCCCCUCUAAACACAUCAAAUNNNNNNNNNNNNNNNNNNNNNNNNNNNNNNNNNNNNNNNNNNNNNNNNNNNNNNNNNNNNNNNNNNNNNNNNNNNNNNNNNNNNNNNNNNNNNNNNNNNNNNNNNNNNNNNNNNNNNNNNNNNNNNNNNNNNNNNNNNNNNNNNNNNNNNNNNNNNNNNNNNNNNNNNNNNNNNNNNNNNNNNNNNNNNNNNNNNNNNNNNNNNNNNNNNNNNNNNNNNNNNNNNNNNNNNNNNNNNNNNNNNNNNNNNNNNNNNNNNNNNNNNNNNNNNNNNNNNNNNNNNNNNNNNNNNNNNNNNNNNNNNNNNNNNNNNNNNNNNNNNNNNNNNNNNNNNNNNNNNNNNNNNNNNNNNNNNNNNNNNNNNNNNNNNNNNNNNNNNNNNNNNNNNNNNNNNNNNNNNNNNNNNNNNNNNNNNNNNNNNNNNNNNNNNNNNNNNNNNNNNNNNNNNNNNNNNNNNNNNNNNNNNNNNNNNNNNNNNNNNNNNNNNNNNNNNNNNNNNNNNNNNNNNNNNNNNNNNNNNNNNNNNNNNNNNNNNNNNNNNNNNNNNNNNNNNNNNNNNNNNNNNNNNNNACCACCACCCGCGCCACCCCACCCCGCGCCGCCCCACACCACCCGCCGCCGCCCUUGUGCAUCGCCGCCGCCGCCCAACGCCGCCGUUCGCCGGAGACCUCGCCGGAGGUUGCCCCGCGUCUCUUUUCCUCGGAUCGUUUUCUUCUAAUCGUUCCGAUUCUUUUCUUCUCUUCCGAUUCGUUUUCUUUUCGGUUCUUUUCUAAAUCGUUCCGGUUUCUAGAUCGGUUUUUCGUUUCGGUCUUUUUCUCCGAAAACCCUAGAUCGGUUUUCGUUCUUCUUUCGGACCGUUCGUCUCAACGAACGUGAUCACCGAUUUUUCCCCGGUUAACGACGCCCGUUCGUUUAACCGUUCUAAUUUUUCUUUUCGUCGGAUUUAUUCCGCGAUCGUGAUCUCAGAUCCGAUCUUCGUUCUAGUCUUUCUUCUCGCUCAUUUAUCGGAAUCAGGUGAUUCAAGCGCCUGGAGUUUCAUUGCGAAACCGCCGUUCCGUCUAAUCUACUUAAACAAGUUUUUGCCCCGGUAAAAUUUGACCUAGUUUCAACUUGCUAGAACCGAGUUGUUUUCUUCCGCCGUUUGUUUUUCCGUCGUCUGUUCGGUUCUUUCUUUCUUUGCAACCGGUGUUCUUAAAUUGAACUUUCUGGUUCAUUCUCUUGUUCGAGUUUUACCUAUGCAUAGUUGAGUACUUAUUGUAUGCUUGUUGUUUGUCUGCGAUAGAUCACCCGGAUUGCGCCGCUUGUUACUUCGAAACCCUAGGUCUCGCGGAUCAUCAGCAAGGCAAGUAACACUUUGAUCAUACCAUUUCUACAACCCAUGUUUUAUUGCAUUAGAUCAAUCCUCUCACAUUGCAUGAUUAGGAUCUAAUUAAAUUGUGGGAUGGGAAGUAGAUGAGGUAGUACCUAUUACCUGUAUUAUUAUGAAACCUUUGGGAGUUACUUCUACGUUUGCUUAUUAUGCCAUGCUAUGCUAGUAGACGUGGAUUGGGUGAGUGAAAUCCAUGACAGAUGUGAGUUGAUAAUUUUAAUGGUUUAUCUAAGGUGGCAACUUAAACACACAUCUGGGUGGAUUGAGGCACCUGAUGUCUAUCAGGACUUGCCUGUUUUUUUUGGACCGCCACCCAGGCUCAAAGGGAUCAUAAGAUCUUUCAUGCUAGAAACUUCCGUGUGCAGCCACAUGCUACUAUGGGCUCUGGCAUAGUUGACUAAGUUGUGAGAACUCUUACGGGGUGGACUAGCAGAUGUAGGGGUUGUAGGUGGUACGGUCUACCCCACAAGUAAGGUGCUAGCGCUUCUGAAAGACUAUGUCUCGGUCAUCCGUAUCUCAAACACCAUGUAGUGCGAGAAACCAAACAGAGGCGAUCGAGUCAUGUGGGGAAAAGUGCGCAAACCUCUGCAGAGUGUACAAACUAAUCAUGAUUAGCCGUGUCCCCGGUUAUGGACAACUUGAGUAUCUAGUACUUGAAUAUCAUUGUGAAUCUUAGCAUGUUACUUCUAAUUAAUGUUGUUGGGUUUUAAUUACUUUUAGUUGGGAUUGAGAAUGUUGUCAACCAUUCUCAAUGUUUCACAACCACCAUGAUAGUUAAAUAAAUUUAUUCCUUUGCAGUAGGGAAAAACUGGCUUUACGCAAAAACUGUAACCAUAGAGCUUUCCACCAGCCAUAUAUGCAUAUAGUAUAGCUGUUUCAUUCCAUUACUCUCUUUGUGUUACUUUGCCAGCAUAUUCCAUGUGCUGACCCGUAUUCGGGCUGCAACUUCUUAUAUUGCAGACUUUUCAGACGACGAGUAAAGUGCUUUUAGGUCAUGUCCCUAUACUCAGUGAUGCCGUUGGAGUUGAUGGACCCAUUUACCUCCCAAGUCUUCCGCUGUUAUCGACACUAUAUGGCCUUAAGCCAUAUUUAUUGUAAUAAGUCUCUUUGAGACAACAAUGUAAUAAGUGUGUGAUUGCCACUCUGCUAUAAAUCCUUUGAUGUACUGUGUGGUGUCAGCAUUACUGAUCCAGGGAUGACACCUAAGCACAGAGAUCAGACUGUUUGUGGUCUGGUCGCUACAGAGAUGGUAUCAGAGCACACGCUGACUGUAGGACACGACCACUAAGUUAAAGCCAUAGAACAUCACUCUCUUCUCAUUUUUUAACUCCUCAUCUUUUCUACCCUAUUAGGAUGAAGAACGCGAAGAUUAAGUACGCUCAACCGGAUGAAGGCACACCUUUUGGAUUUCACUUGAAAGAAGUCACCAAGUACCUGGACAUUGGAUUACCAAGUUUCACGGGAACCUUCAAUGCCACUCUGCCUGAAGAGGAGCGCUGGAAGAUUCAAGCUCACAUUCCGGGAAGGACAUUCGCGCCAAUCACGAAGCCUAUAGAUAGUGUUUUCAAUGCACCAACCUGGAGUCUGGGAAGGAGCAUGGUAGCUCAUAUCACCAUAGGACGCAUUGGAGAAGUUUACCAAGAAGACCUCAAGGACACUAUCUACCAGAUUUGCGGACGCCGAGAUGAACAAUGGGAGUUAGUCAGCACCAAGAAGGAUAGAUCCAUUGCAUCUUUCAUCCAGGAGUUAAACCAGCACAUUCGACGCCACGAGAACCAGAUGUGCAAUGAUAUGGUAGAGCUGAAGAAUGCGAAGGCAAGGAUCAUCGAGCUAGAAGGAGAACUGAAGUCUACACGCAAGGACUACAUGGACGAGAUCGUAGCUCUAGCGAGACACAAUGGCGAUCUUAAGCAGGAGAUUGAAGAACUCAAGAGGAAGUUAGGAUCCAAGGAGGAAGACGAGUACGUCGCAUGUCCGGACAACUACAUCAUCAUCGACGACACCGAUUCGGAUCCAAGUGAACCCGACUUUGAAGACGAAGCUGGAGCAGAUAUCAUGGAGUCUUCCACCGGUUCAAAUUUCUAGAAGACCACCAGAUAGUAGUAGUAUUCCCCCUAUAAACACAAUAGUUCGAGCACUUUUGCGAUAGUUAGAUCGUUGUAAGCCCUUGUUUGAUUGAAUGAAGUGAUUUUUGUGUGCAUUUGCUCAUGUGCAUUGGGGUAGUGUUUUCCCUUUAGACCUCUCUCUAUUCUUAAUUCUCGUCUUUUCUAAACCCUCAGAUUCCUCUGAGACGUGACAACGGAUUUCCACCGGAGCUCACUCAGUUGAUCCAACAGCAGAAUCAAUUGAUGCAGAUGUUAGUCCAGAACCAGCAGAACAACAACAACAACAACCCACCACCACCACCACCUGUUGACCACUUAGCCCGUUUCCUUAGGCUGAAUCCGCCGGUGUUUUCUAGUAGCACCGAGCCGAUUGUAGCAGAUGAUUGGCUCCGUAAGAUAGGAAGGGAGUUGACCACUGCAGGAUGCACGGAUGGUGAGAAAGUGAAGUUUGCCGCACAUCAGCUUGACGGACCCGCGGCAGCAUGGUGGGAGAAUUUCACAGCCACCUACCCAGUAGACACUGUCACAUGGGAUUAGUUUCAGCAAGCUUUCCGCACAGCCCAUGUUUCAGCAGGAGCUAUGGCCAUGAAGAAGCGUGAGUUUCGCAACUUACGCCAAGGAGGAAGGACAGUUGGCCAGUACGUUGACGAUUUCAGCAAGUUAGCACGUUAUGCCCCAGAUGACGUUGCUACGGAUGCAGCUAAGCAGGAGAAGUUUCUGGAAGGAUUGAAUGAUGAGCUAAGCAUGUAGUUGAUGGUAGCGAGUUUCAACAACUACCAGGAGUUGGUAGAUCGUGCCAUCAUGAUUGAAGGGAAGCAACAGCAGAUUGAAAACUGUAAGAGGAAGUAUGGACAUGGGAAGUAUAACUCUGGAGCCCAGCAGAAGCCCCAUUUUAUUCCUAAACCGGGAUUUAAGUUUCAGCACACCCAUGGAGGAGGUAGCUCGCACAAACAUAAUGGCCACAAGAAUGGUAAUGGAAAUGGAGGAAGCAACGGCUAGAACCAGACCACCCCAUCGACCCCAACCAAGAGAGACCUGAGUCAAGUCACUUGUUUCAAGUGUUCCAAGACCGGACAUUAUGCCAAUGAAUGUCCCGAAGGCCAGAAUGGGAAUGGCAAUGGAAGCUCUGGGAAGAAGCCGAACCCUUUCAAUAGGGGACAGGUGAACCACCUUAAUGUGGAGGAGGUUGAAGAUCAGCACGAUGCAGUAAUAGGUAAGUUUUUGGUUAAGUCAUUUACUGCACUCGUUCUUUUUGAUACUGGAGCGUCGCAUUCAUACAUAUCAAGGGGAUUUGUGGAUAAAUAUAACCUGCCGACCCAAGCCCUUAGGUCACCCAUGUUAGUAAGCUCACCAUGAGCGGAGUUUAUGGCUAGACGAUGGUGUGAUCGGUAACUAUGUGUUUCCCUCAGACCUAAUAGUAUUGGAAUCUCAAGGAUUGGAUGUAAUAUUAGGCAUGGAUUGGUUAUCAAAGUAUAAAGGGAAUAUUGAGUGUGCUAGUAAGUCAAUUUUGCUUACCACACCAGAAGGAAGAAGGAUCAAGUAUGUAUCCCGGCAUAUGCCAAACAGGACACAAGUAAACUGCCUAACAGGAGUUGUGCAAGAGGAUGUACUAGUGGUAAAGGAUUUUCCUGAUGUAUUUCUCGAAGAGUUUCCAGGCAUGCCACCGGAUAGAGACAUUGAGUUUUUGAUUGAGUUAUUGCCAGGUACAGGCCCAAUAUCGAAGCGACCAUAUAGGAUGCCAGCAAAGGAUUUGGUGGAAAUUAAGAAUCAGAUUAAGGAGUUAUUGGAUAAGGGUUACAUUCGCCCAAGUUCUUCGCCUUGGGGAUCACCCAUGCUUCUAGUGGAAAAGAAGGAUGGAUCAUUAAGGAUGGUUGUAGAUUAUCGGGGAUUGAAUGAAGUAACCAUCAAGAACAAGUACCCACUGCCAAUGAUCAACGAUCUGUUUGAUCGGUUGCAAGGAGCUAAAGUGUUUUCCAAGAUCGAUUUGCGAUCAGGGUACCAUCAAUUGAAGAUUCGAGAGCAGGACAUACCUAAGACAGCGUUCACCACGAGAUAUGGACUGUAUGAGUAUACCGUGAUGUCAUUUGGAUUGACUAACGCACUUGCCUAUUUUAUGAAUCUGAUGAACAAAGUGUUUAUGGAGUUUUUGGAUAAAUUCGUCGUAGUGUUCAUUGAUGACAUCCUGGUUUAUUCAAAGAAUGAAGAGGAACAUAAGGAACAUUUGCGUUUGGUUUUGGAGAAACUAAGGGAACAUCAGUUAUACGCCAAAUUCAGCAAAUGUGAGUUUUGGUUGAAGGAAGUUGGAUUCCUCGGACACGUUAUAUCUGGAGAAGGUAUAGUAGUUGACCCCACAAAGGUUGAGACCGUAACCGAAUGGGAAGCACCAACAACAGUUGGAGAGAUCCGGAGUUUUCUUGGACUCGCAGGAUACUACCGGAGAUUCAUUGAGAACUUUUCAAAGAUAGCAAAGCCUAUGACUGAAUUGUUGAAGAAGGAUACUAAGUUCAAAUGGACUGAGGAGUGUGAGGCUAGUUUCCAGGAGUUAAAGAAACGUUUGGUCACCUCACCAGUAUUAAUCUUGCCAGAUCAAACCAAGGAUUAUGAGGUGUAUUGCGACGCUUCACGUCGAGGACUUGGAGCAGUGCUUAUGCAGGAAGGAGGAGUUGUUUCGUAUGCUUCACGACAACUAAAGCCUCAUGAGUUGAAUUAUGCCACGCAUGAUUUGGAGUUAGCAGCCGUAGUGCAUGCAUUGAAGACGUGGAGACAUUUCCUCAUUGGAAAUCAUUGUGAGGUGUACACGGAUCACAAGAGUUUGAAGUACAUUUUUACGCAGAAGGAGUUGAACCUCAGACAAAGGAGAUGGUUGGAGCUCAUCAAGGAUUAUGACAUGAGAUUGCAUUACCAUCCCGGAAAAGCUAAUGUAGUAGCUGACGCAUUGAGCCGUAAGAGCCAUGUCAAUACCCUAGUGACAGAGAAAAUACCCAAGGAGUUAGCAGAAAACCUUCAUGAACUAUGUUUGGAAAUAGUUCCCAGAGGAUAUGUAGCAGCAUUGGAGAUUCAGUCAACAUUGAUGGAUAAAAUCAGAGAAGCUCAGAAAUCUGACAAGCAGAUUGCUGCUAUAAAAGAGAGAAUGAGCAAAGGAAAAGCAAAGGGAUUUCGUGAAGAUGAGCACGAUACCCUAUGGUUUGAGGACCAUGUUUAUGUGCCCAAUGACCCGGAGAUCAGGAAGUUGAUUUUGCAAGAGGCACAUGAUUCACCGUAUUCGAUUCACCCAGGGAAUACCAAGAUGUAUUUGGAUUUGAAGGAAACAUUCUGGUGGACCGGAAUGAAGAAGGAUAUUGCAGCAUAUGUAGCAGUUUGUGACGUAUGUCAGAGAGUAAAAGCAGAGCAUCAGAAGCCAGCAGGACUGUUACAACCAUUGCCGAUAUCCGAAUGGAAGUGGGAUAUGAUAGGCAUGGAUUUUAUCACAGGACUACCCAGGACAAAGGCAGGCUAUGAUUCGAUAUGGGUAGUAGUUGAUUGUUUGACGAAGGUAGCACAUUUUAUUCCAGUUAAGACCACUUACACCAGUGCUAAGUUGGCAAAGAUAUACGUGACUAGGAUCAUUUGUUUGCAUGGAGUUCCGAGGAGUAUCGUAUCAGAUAGAGGAACCCAAUUUACCUCAAAGUUUUGGAAUCAGUUGCAUGAAACUUUAGGAACCAGACUAGAGUUCAGCACAGCUUUUCAUCCACAGACAGAUGGACAGACCGAGAGAGUCAAUCAGAUUUUGGAAGAUAUGCUGAGAGCUUGUGCACUAGAUGAUGGAUCUAGCUGGGACGAUAAUUUGCCAUACGCGGAGUUUUCUUACAAUAAUAGCUAUCAGACCAGUUUGAAGAUGGCACCUUUCGAAGCCCUAUACGGAAGGAGGUGCAGGACACCAUUGUCAUGGGACGAAGUGGGAGACCGUCAAUUCUUUGGACCAGAUUUGAUUAAGGAGUUUGAACGGAAAGUUAAGUUGAUUCGCGAUAGGCUCAAGGUAGCCCAGUCUAGGCAAAAGAGUUACGCAGAUUCAAAACGCAAGGAGACAGUUUACGAAACUGGAGACAGAGUUUACCUUCGAGUAUCCCCACUUCGAGGAAUAAAGCGCUUUGGAGUUAAGGGAAAGUUAGCACCGCGUCUCGUUGGACCGUACAAGAUCUUGCAACGUAUGGGAGAAGUCGCUUAUAAGUUGGAAUUACUAGAAGGACUGUCAGGAGUUCAUGAUGUAUUCCAUGUUUCUCAGCUAAAGAAAUGGCAUGCCGAAAUGGCGGAAGUACCGCUAAGAGAUACAGUGCCACUCGAAGCGAUUCAGUUGGAUAACGACUUAACCUAUGAGGAGAAGCCAGUCAAGAUUCUCGAUUAUGCUAGCAGAGUUACUCGCAGCAAGGUUAUCAAGUUUUGCAAAGUUCAGUGGAACCACCACUCAGAGGAUGAAGCCACCUGGGAGAGAGAAGAAGAUUUGCUCAAGGACCACCCUCACCUAUUUUCUAGCCAACCCGAAUCUCGAGGGCGAGAUUCAUCUUAAGGGGGUUAGGUUUGUAACAUCCCAAAUUUUCAAUUUGGAAUGUUAUACAUAGAUCAUCAUGCAUAUCAUAUUUUCUUGCAUUUUGGUUGAUCCUAGAAAUUUCACGCAACUCAAGGACCCUCGGAGAGAGUUGGAGAUUUCGAUAUUUUCAUAUUUGAGUUUUCUCAAAUUUUGAAAAGAGGAUCAUUUGAUUUAUUUAUUUUAUCUUCAAUUAUUUUUCCGGUGUCAAAAUAUAUAAGAGAGGGAAUAAUAUGACUUUCCCAAAUUUAGGAAAAAUGAAGAUUUAAUAAAUAGAUCAAUUUUGUUUUGCCAGAGUUUUGUUUGCGUUUUAUUUGGAUAAGGAAAAAUGCGCGUUUUCGAAAAUUGCAUUUUAGGCCCGGAGUAAAGUUCAUUUUGUUCGACUCAUUUUUAGGAGUCGGGGAAAAUUUACUUUAGAUAUUUUGGAGUUCGUUUACUUCUCUUUUUGUUUAUUUUUUUUCUGCGCGCGAAACCGAUUUGAAAAAAAGGAGCCUCCCGCCAGGCCAGUCGGGCCAAAGGCCCAGCCAGCCGGCCCCUCCCCUCACGCGCAGCGCAGGCGCCAGGCGCCAGGCGCCCAGGCAGCCGCCGCCGCUCCCUGGCCGAGUCCCAGCGGGACUUAGGUCGGUUAGCCCCUCCCCUUUCCUUGUUUCUUUUUUUUUGCUUUCCUAUUCCUAGUCUAUUUCUUGUCCCCUACCCCAAGUCUCCUCUCCCCUCACCUAUAUAAAUACCCCCACACCCCCCUCUAAACACAUCAAANNNNNNNNNNNNNNNNNNNNNNNNNNNNNNNNNNNNNNNNNNNNNNNNNNNNNNNNNNNNNNNNNNNNNNNNNNNNNNNNNNNNNNNNNNNNNNNNNNNNNNNNNNNNNNNNNNNNNNNNNNNNNNNNNNNNNNNNNNNNNNNNNNNNNNNNNNNNNNNNNNNNNNNNNNNNNNNNNNNNNNNNNNNNNNNNNNNNNNNNNNNNNNNNNNNNNNNNNNNNNNNNNNNNNNNNNNNNNNNNNNNNNNNNNNNNNNNNNNNNNNNNNNNNNNNNNNNNNNNNNNNNNNNNNNNNNNNNNNNNNNNNNNNNNCACCCGCCGCCGCCCUUGUGCAUCGCCGCCGCCGCCCAACGCCGCCGUUCGCCGGAGACCACGCCGGAGGUUGCCCCGCGUCUCUUUUCCUCGGAUCGUUUUCUUCUAAUCAUUCCGAUUCUUUUCUUCUCUUCCGAUUCGUUUUCUUUUCGGUUCUUUUCUAAACCGUUUCGGUUUCUAGAUCGGUUUUUCAUUUCGGUCUUUUUCUCCGAAAACCCUAGAUCGGUUUUCGUUCUUCUUUCGGACCGUUCGUCUCAAUGAACGUGAUCACCGAUUUUUCCCCGGUUAACGACGCCCGUUCGUUUAACCGUUCUUCUUUUUCUUUUCGUCGGAUUUAUUCUGCGAUCGUGAUCUUAGAUCCGAUCUUCGUUCUAGUCUUUCUUCUCGCUCGUUUAUCGGAAUCAGGUGAUUCAAGUGCCUGGAGUUUCAUUGCGAAACCGCCGUUCCGUCUAAUCAACUUAAACAAGUUUUUGCCCUGGUAAAAUUUGACCUAGUUUCAACUUGCUAGAACCGAGUUGUUUUCUUCCGCCGUUUGUUUUUCCGUUGUCUGUUCGGUUCUUUCUUUCUUUGCAACCGGAGUUCUUAAAUUGAACUUUCUGGUUCGUUCUCUUGUUCGAGUUUUACCUGUGCAUUAGUUGAGUACUUAUUGUAUGCUUGUUGUUUGUCUGCGAUAGAUCACCCGGAUUGCGCCGCUUGUUACUUCGAAACCCUAGGUCUCACGGAUCAUCAGCAAGGCAAGUAACACUUUGAUCAUACCUUUUCUACAACCCAUGUUUUAUUGCAUUAGAUCAAUCCUCUCACAUUGCAUGAUUAGGAUCUAAUUAAAUUGUGGGAUGGGAAGUAGAUGAGGUAGUACCUAUUACCUGUAUUAUUAUGAAACCUUUGGGAGUUACUUCUACGUUUGCUUAUUAUGCCAUGCUAUGCUAGUAGACGUGGAUUGGGUGAGUGAAAUCCAUGACAGAUGUGAGUUGAUAAUUUUAAUGGUUUAUCUAAGGUGGCAACUUAAACACACAUCUGGGUGGAUUGAGGCACCUGAUGUCUAUCAGGACUUGCCUGUUUUUUUUGGACCUCCACCCAGGCUCAAAGGGAUCAUAAGAUCUUUCAUGCUAGAAACUUCCGUGUGCAGCCACAUGCUACUAUGGGCUCUGGCAUAGUUGACUAAGUUGUGCGAACUCUUACGGGGUGGACUAGCAGAUGUAGGGGUUGUAGGUGGUACGGUCUACCCCACAAGUAAGGUGCUAGCGCUUCUGAAAGACUAUGUCUCGGUCAUCCGUAUCUCAAACACCAUGUAGUGCGAGAAACCAAACAGAGGCGAUCGAGUCAUGUGGGGAAAAGUGCGCAAACCUCUGCAGAGUGUACAAUCUAAUCAUGAUUAGCCGUGUCCCCGGUUAUGGACAACUUGAGUAUCUAGUACUUGAAUAUCAUUGUGAAUCUUAGCAUGUUACUUCUAAUUAAUGUUGUUGGGUUUUAAUUACUUUUAGUUGGGAUUGAGAAUGCUGUCAACCAUUCUCAAUGUUUCACAACCACCAUGAUAGUUAAAUAAAUUUAUUCCUUUGCAGUAGGGAAAAACUGGCUUUACGCAAAAACUGUAACCAUAGAGCUUUCCACCAGCCAUAUAUGCAUAUAGUAUAGCUGUUUCAUUCCAUUACUCUCUAUGUGUUACUUUGCCAGCAUAUUCCAUGUGCUGACCCGUAUUCGGGCUGCAACUUCUUAUGUUGCAGACUUUUCAGACGACGAGUAAAGUGCUUUUAGGUCAUGGCCCUAUACUCAGUGAUGCCGUUGGAGUUGAUGGACCCAUUUACCUUCCAAGUCUUCCGCUGUUAUCGACACUAUAUGGCCUUAAGCCAUAUUUAUUGUAAUAAGUCUCUUUGAGACAACGAUGUAAUAAGUGUGUGAUUGCCACUCUGCUAUAAAUCCUUCAAUGUACUGUGUGGUGUCAGCGUUACUGAUCCAGGGAUGACACCUGAGCACAGAGAUCAGACUGUUUGAGGUCUGGUCGCUACAACAAUUCCAUUGGCAGUUGGGAGGACUUGGAAGAGGCUUUCCUCGAUAACUUCCAAGGUACAUGCGUUCGACCUCCGGACGCUGAUGACUUAAGCCAUAUAGUCCAGCAGCACGAAGAGUCCGCCAGGAAAUUCUGGACAAGGUUCCUAACUAAAAAGAACCAAAUCAUUGACUGUCCGGACGCCGAAGCUCUAGCAACUUUCAAACAUAGCAUCCGUGACGAAUGGCUCGCCCGCACCUCAGCCAAGAAAAGCCAAAAUCCAUGGCGGCCCUCACGGCACUAAUGACCCUCUUUUGUGCGGGCAAGGACAGUUGGUUGGCCCGUAGCAAAAACAAUGCAAGUGACGCCGGCACCCCUAAAGUUAAAAAUAACAAAGACAAGUCUCGACGCAAUAGAUACAAGCGCCGUAAUAGCAGUGACGACACCGAGGAUACGGCGGUCAAUGCCGGAUUCAGUGGCUCUAAGUCCGGUGAGCGGAAGAAGUCGUUCCAAAAGAACAAUUCGAGCCCAUCCAGCUUGGACCACAUACUUGAUCGUCCAUGCCAGAUUCACGGCACCCCCGACAAGCCUCCUAAUCAUACAAAUAGAGAGUGUUGGGUUUUCAAACAGGCCACCAAAUUAAAUGUCGAGAACAGGGAAAAAGGUUCACAAAGCGAGGAUGACGAUGAAGAGUCACAGCAGCCGAACACAAGGGGACAGAAGAAGUUUCCCCCUUAGGUCAAAAUGGUGAACAUGAUACAUGCCAGGCACAUCCCCAAGAGGGAGUGCAAGCGUGCGCUUAGGGACGUCUACGCGAUAGAGCGAGUCUCCACAAAAUUCAACCCAUGGUUGUCGUGCCCAAUCACUUUCGAUCGCCGGGACCACCCGACCAGUAUCCAUCAUGGGGGCUCAGCCACACUAGUCUUAGACCCAAUAAUUGACGGGUUUCACCUGACUCGCGUCCUUAUGGACGGUGGUAGCAGCCUCAAUCUUCUCUAUCAGGAUACAACGCGGAAAAUGGGCAUUAACCCAUCAAGGAUCAAGCCUACAAGGACUACCUUUAAAGGAGUCAUACCAGGUGUAGAGGCUCGCCGUAUGAGCUCAAUCACAUUAGAGGUUGUCUUCGGAUCUCCGGACAACUUCCGAAGUGAGGAGUUAAUCUUCGAUAUCGUCCCAUUCCGCAGUGGCUAUCAUGCACUGCUCGGACGAACUACGUUUGCUCGAUUGAACGCAGUGCCACACUAUGCUUAUCUCAAGCUCAAGAUGCCCGGUCCACGUGGCGUUAUAACAGUCAAUGGCAAUACGGAACGCUCUCUCUGUACAGAAGAGCACACAGCUGCCCUAGCAGCAGAAGUACAAAGCAGCCUUCUCAACCAGACCCUUCAUUCGGCUGAAGAGCCCGCGGACAUCCUUAAGAGGGUCCGAACUACUCUGCAGCAGGAGAGCUCAGCUCGUCAGGAGCUCGACUAGCAAUCCGGCCUCCGUCUCAGUCCCGAUCAAGUGGUGGCAUUCGUGUCACGCGUACAUACCUACGCACUUAAAAUUCCAUGGGCAUUAACGGAGGCACAGACAACUUGUGAUCCAUGGCACGGCUCAAUCGACAUCAGAUACACACAUACUUUCACUUUUACUUGUUUUCCUUUCAGGUCUCAAGCCCACAGGCCCCUCGGGGGGUCUGGUUAUCGGUCCUCUUGUAGGAUAAAUACACCAAGAGGGUGAGAAGCGCGGACAUAUGGGGAACUUUUUAGGUGAUUCCGUUAAUGAUAACUCUACCUAUUUUCCAGGACCCAUAUGCAGCUCUCCCUUAGUUUCGGCAUGUUCAAUAGCCUAUUGCUUAUUGAACUAUUUGUAUCAAUGCGCCUUGACGUACUAAUUACAUUACAAUGAAAACAGUGUGUAGCUGGAGCUUUAGGACCCCAGCUUUUUACCUUUAAGUCUUUUCUGUUUUCUUUCUCUCUCUUCUUUUUCAGAUUCCCUAUGGAUAACCCCAUCAGGUAGCACCCGUACACUUUGGUAUGUUUGAAGUUUGCCAGGGGCUUUAUAGAACCUUACACUAUGGCAACAAAAGUCCGAACACUUUCUAUAAGUAUAGUUUGGCACCCCGAAUUUAGCAUUAUAUGCAUUGGCUCCAAAUCAUGUCUUUGGUCAAUAGUUGGGUUGCCUGGCUCCUGUGCUUGCUACCCUAUGUUCCGCUACAUCGGCUAGGGUAGUAAAGGGAGAACUACUACGAUUGUGUCCUGGUCUAAACCGGAUGAGCACCUCAGUAGAGAAAGCUGAAAACUGACUGACAUGUUCCGGCGAGAGCUGGUCAGCUGUUCAGCGGUCUUAAAUCGUUGGAGAUUUUUCCGCAUUUCGGGAAGGAUCGGUACUUCCUUAUCAGACGCUGACACCACUCUGGUUCGUAUACCAGCGGAUGCACCUAUGUUUUAUUAUAAAACUCCUAUGGCUAAGUGAGGGCGUUCAAGCCGUAUAGUCUGGUUGCCUGGUUCAUUGCGCUCAACAACUCCUUCAAGGACCAUAUAAUUGGAUCAAGAUUGUUUAGAUUCCAUCCCGAACACCUCCGUACUACCUACACGAGGGCUGAAGCUGAUGACUGGUUAACCCUCAGAUUUCAUACAACAUGGCCGCACAGGAGGAAACACUCAAAACAUAAUAAAAAUUAUAUAUUACAAGGCGUAUUUGUUCAUACAAGGCAAAACAUGGAUGUAUUCAUUCGAGAAUAACAUCCUCCCCGCAUUGCGUUGCUACAAGUCGAGAUCCCUCCAAGACAUCCGCAAAAUAUCGAUCGUGUGUGCGGUGCUCCUUGACCUCCGGCAGCCCCCUGGCCACCUCGACGGCAUUCAUCUUCGCCCACCACAUCUUGCAACAAGCGAAGGCCAUGCGGGCACCCUCGAUGCAGACUGAUCGCUUGACGAUGUCUAGCCGCGGACAAGCCUCGACCACCCGCUUCACAAGGCCAAAAUAACUACUAGGUAUAGCUUCGGUCGGCCAUAAUCGGAUUAUGAAAUCCUUCAUGGCCAGUUCGGCCACCCUAUGCAGCUCGACCAACUGCUUCAGUUGAUUGGAAAAGGCCACCGGAUGUUCUAGCACAGCAUAUUGCGACCAGAAUAGCUUCUCCGAAGAAUCCCCUUCCCUGGCUCGGAAGAACUCCGCAGCAUUGGAUACACUACGGGGCAGAUCCACAAAAGCCCCUGGGCAACUCCGAAUCCGGGUUAGUAAAAGGUACUUCCUCUCCACAUACUUGCUUUGCAUGUUAAAUUCCUUACCCACCGUGAUCUUCUUCGCCUCCUGGAUCUCCUGGAGAGCGUCCCAGGCCUCAUUCCGUGCGGCCUCUGAGCUCUGACAAGCCUUGGUAAGUUCGGCCUCUCGAGCCGACGCCUCGUGCCCCAAAGCUUCACACUUCUUCACCACGUCUUGGAGCUCCUGCUGGACCUCCCCGACCCGAGCCUUGAGCUUCUUAUGGGCGGCUUAUUGUUGGAUAGCCUUCCCCUCGGCUUCGGCCAGGGCCUUUCUCAGGGUCUCAACCUCGGUCGUCACUUCUGUACAAAUCAUGGCAUUUUGGUCAUCGCAUACAAUUUUCUUCUUUUUGAAUAUAUAACAUGUUAUUGCUUACCUUGUUUCUCCUGGAGCUUCCUCUUCGCUUGGCCCAGCUCCUCCUCGGCCUCUGCCAGUUUCUACUUCAGUCCAGAAACUUCGGCAAUAUGCGAGGCCGCGGCUAGCAACGACGCCUGCAUUUCAGAAAAAUUAAGUUAGUUUCCUGUUAAAACGAGAUUGAUCCUCUUCCCAGCUUUUUCUUUCCGAACACCGGACAGUGUCUAAGGGGCUACUGGUCUACACUGGGAUUUUCUCCUUGUACAGCGUUUCUUACCUCAAAAUCUGUCAGCAAGCUGCUGGAGGCUUCGGUUAAUCUGCUCUUGGCGGACUAAACCUUUUCAAUCACCACGCCCAUAAGGGCACGGUGCUCAUCCAUAAUGGAAGCGCCUCGUAGCGUCUCCAGCAGGUUACCCGAUGCCCCUGGUUGGACAGGGGUCACCGGCGGAACAGGCAUCCCCGCUUCUUUCAAAGGAGGGUGCGUGUUGGAUUCCAGAGCCGCCUCGGUCUCCAGAAUUGAGUCCGGUUGAGGGCCAAACUGUGUACGGCCCUUCCCGCCAGUAUCAUUGGGGAUUGAGUCCCCUUGGUGUCCGGUGACGGGAGUUUCGCCUUCGGGCACAUCCUAAGCCUCUCCCCCGCUGGAGACAGUCCUUGGUUUUGGGGGAGUGUGCGUCCGGCAGGGAGUCGCUGGCCAUUGCCUUGGAAUCCAGCAAGCCUCCUGACGAGGAUCGCUCGGAGCUAUUGUGGGCCGGACUACAAUAACAUUUGCCAAUCGUUUCAAUACAAUGAGGAGGAGAGACUUUAUGGGCGGAUAAGGUGUUAGUACUUAUGAUGCGGCCCGAGGCUUAGCGCGGGGGCGUCUCUCCGGACUGUCAUCAAGGUCCCAUGCAAAGUUACCCGUUAGGGAGCCCUUCCCCUUUUUGGGCGCCUCCACCUCCAGAGUUGUGGAGGCCGCCCUCUUCUUCCUCCCCCCGUCGGGGGGAGAGUGAUACGCCUCCAACGUAUCUAUAAUUUUUUAUUGUUCCAUGCUAUAUUAUAUUCUGUUUUGGAUGUUUAAUGGGCUUUAUUAUACACUUUUAUAUUAUUUUUGGGACUAACCUAUUAACCGGAGGCUCAGCCCAAAUUGUUGUUUUUUGCCUAUUUCAGUGUUUCGCAGAAAAGGAAUAUCAAACUAAGUCCAAACGGAAUGAAACCUUUGGGAACGUGAUUUUCUCAACAAACGUGAUCUAGGAGACUUGGAGUGGGCGUCAAGAAACAAUCGAGGAGGCCACGAGGCAGGGGGCGCACCUACCCCCCUGGGCGCGCCCUCCACCCUCGUGGGCCCCUUGUUGCUCCACCGACCUACUUCUUCCUCCUAUAUAAGUCCACGUACCCCGCAAACAUCCAGGAUGACCACGAAAACCUAAUUCCACCGCCGCAACCUUCUGUACCCGAGAGAUCCCAUCUUGGGGCCUUGCCGGAGCUCCACCGGAGGGGGCAUUGAUCACGGAGGGCCUCUACAUCAACUCCAUGGCCUGUCCGGUGAUGUGUGAGUAGUUUACUUCAGACCUUCGGGUCCAUAGCUAGUAGCUAGAUGGCUUCUUCUCUCUCUUUGGAUCUCAAUACAAAGUUCUUCUCGAUCUUCUUGGAGAUCUAUUCGAUGUAAUCUUCUUUUGCGGUGUGUUUGUCGAGAUCCGAUGAAUUGUGGGUUUAUGAUCAAGUUUAUCUAUGAACAAUAUUUGAAUCUGCUCCGAAUUCUUUUAUGUAUGAUUGGUUAUCUUUGCAAGUCUCUUCGAAUUAUCAGUUUCGUUUGGCCUACUAGAUUGAUCUUUCUUGCAAUGGGAGAAGUGCUUAGCUUUGGAUUCAAUCUUGCGGUGUCCUUUCCUAGUGACAGCAGGGGCACGUAUUGUAUUGUCGCCAUCGAGGAUAAAAAGAUGGGGUUUAUAUCAUAUUGCAUGAGUUUAUCCCUCUACAUCAUGUCAUCUUACUUAAAGCAUUACUCUAUUCUUAUGAACUUAAUACUCUAGAUGCAUGCUGGAUAGCGGUCGAUGUGUGGAGUAAUAGUAGUAGAUGCAGAAUCGUUUCAGUCUACUUGUCACGGACGUGAUGCCUAUAUACAUGAUCAUACCUAGAUAUUCUCAUAACUAUGCUCAAUUCUAUCAAUUGAUCGACAGUAAUUCGUUUACCCACCGUAAUACUUAUGCUCUUGAGAGAAGCCAUUAGUGAAACCUAUGGCCCCCGGGUCUAUCUUCCAUCAUAUUAAUCUUCCAACACUUAGCUAUUUCUAUUGCCAUUUAUUUUACUUUGCAUCUUUAUUUCUCUUUAUCAUAAAAAUACCAAAAAUAUUAUCUUAUCAUAUCUAUUAGAGCUCACUCUCGUAAGUGACCGUGAAGGGAUUGACAACCCCUUUAUCACGUUGUUGCGAGGUUCUUAUUUGUUUGUGUAGGUGCGAGGGACUCGAGCGUGAUCUCCUACUAGAUUGAUACCUUGGUUCUCAAAAACUAAGGGAAAUAUUUACGCUACUUUACUGCAUCACCCUUUCCUCUUCAAGGGAAAACCAACGCAGUGCUCAAGAGGUAGCAAGAAGGAUUUCUGGCGCCGUUGCCGGGGAGAUUCGUGCCAAGUCAAGUCAAGAUUUGACUCCCGACAAUGAGCCAUUUCUGGCGCCGUUGCCGGGGAGUCUACGCACAAGUCAAGACAUACCAAGUACCCAUCACAAACUCUUAUCCCUCACAUUACAUUAUUUGCCAUUUGUCUCUCAUUUUCCUCUCCCCCACUUCACCAUUGUCAUUUUAUUCGCUUUCUCUUUUCCGCUCACCUUUCUUUCGCCAUGUCAGAAUAAAAAAGGGUUGGGGGUUCUCUCCCGAGUUUUAGUACUUUGGACAAUCCUUCUAUUCUCUCUAAACUCAUAAAUAAUGAUGCUAUGGAAAGACCUACCGAAGUUAUCAAUGAGAAUCUUAAUAAUUUUGAUGAAGAUGAUUCCGGAAUUUUUCAUUAUUUACUCGAUGAAUCUUUGAAAGAUGCUUGGGAUAGACUAUUAAGGAUCCGGGCCAGGUAUGUGCCCCAAUACCAAAUUGAAAUUUACUUAAAGAGCUUUUAUGUUGCCCUACCUUCUUCAUUUAAGCAUGUCUUAGAUUCUAUAUUUGAAGAAGGUUUUCUUGAAGGGGAUGUCGUAGAUACUUAUGAAAAGAUGAAAACCAUAUUUGGGCACCCCAUGAAUGAGAAGGUUGAAUCCACAUCUCUUUUGCUCUCCUACCAAAACGAAUCUAUCAAAGAGAUGAAAGCUAGCUUAGAUGAAAAUUUCCGUAAAAUGCUUAAUCUUUCUUCUACCAUUAACAACCAUGUGCUUUAUCAAAACAGAAAGAUUAAUGCCAUAGAUAAUAAGUUUGAUCUUUUCUUCCCUAAAACCAAAGAUGGCAAUACCUAGAUCUAUCCUUGCUUUUAUGCCUAGCUAGGGGCGUUAAACGAUAGCGCUUGUUGGGAGGCAACCCAAUUUUAUUUUUAUUCCUUGAUUUUUUGCUUCUGUUUAGUAAUAAAUAAUUUAUAUAGCCUCUGUUUUGGUUGUGUUUUUUGUGUUUAAUUAGUGUUUGUGCCAAGUAGAACCGUUGGGAAGACUUGGGGAAUGUCCUUUUGAUCUUGCUGUAAAAGAUAGAAACUUUAGCGCUCACGAGAAUUGCUGACAUUUUUAUUUGGAGAGUGAUAUUUCGUUAAUCCUUUUUGAAUAUGAUUAAUAGAUAAAUUCCUCACGUCCAGAAAUUUAUUUUAGAAUUUUUGGGGUUCCAGAAGUUUGCGUUAGCUACAGAUUACUACAGACAGUUCUGUUUUUGACAGAUUCUGUUUUUCGUGUGUUGUUUGCUUAUUUUGAUGAAUCUAUGGCUAGUAAUAAAGUUUAUAAACCAUAGAGAAGUUGAAAUACAGUAAGUUUAACACCAAUAUAAAUAAAGAAUGAGUUCAUUACAGCACCUUGAAGUGGUGGUUUGUUUUCUUUCGCUAACGGAGCUCACGAGAUUUUCUAUUUGAGUUUUGUGUUGUGAAGUUUUCAAGUUUUGGGUAAUGAUUAGAUGGAUUAUGGAACAAGGAGUGGCAAGAGCCUAAGCUUGGCGAUGCCCAUGGCACCCCAAGGUAAUCUAAGGACACCAAAAAGCCAAAGCUUGGGGAUGCCCCGGAAGGCAUCCCCUCUUUCGUCUUCAUCCAUCGGUAACUUUACAUGGAGCUAUAUUUUUAUUCACCACAUGAUAUGUGUUUUGCUUGGAGCGUUUUGUAUGAUUUGAGUCUAUGAUUUUUAGUAUGCCAAAAUAAUCCUGGCUGUACACACCUUUUGAGAGAGACACACAUGAUUCGGAAUUUAUUAGAAUACUCUAUGUGCUUCACUUAUAUCUUUUGAGCUAUAUAGUUUAUGCUCUAGUGCUUCACUUAUAUCUUUUAGAGCACGGUGGUGGAUUUGUUUUAUAGAAACUACUGUUCUCUCAUGCUUCACUUCUAUUAUUUUGAGAGUCGUUUAGAACAACAUGGCAAUUUGCUGUUAGGAAUAAUAAAAACUUUCAUAUGAGUGUGUUGAAUACUAUGAGAAGUUUGAUGCUUGAUAAUUGUUUUGAGAUAUGAAGAUGGUGAUAUUAGCGUCAUGCUAGUUGACUGAUUAUUAAUUUGAGAAAUACUUGUGUUAAAGUUUGUGAUUUCCGUAGCAUGCACAUAUGCUGAACCGUUACGUGAUGAAGUCGGAGCAUGAUUUAUUUAUUGAUUAUCUUCCUUAUGAGUGGCGGCCGGGGAUGAGCGAUGGUCUUUUUCUACCAAUCUAUCCCCCUAGGAGCAUGCGCGUAAUACUUUGCUUUGAUAACUCGUAGAUUUUUGCAACAAGUAUAUGAGUUCUUUAUGACUAAUAUUGAGUCCAUGGAUUAUACGCACUCUCAUCCUUCCACCAUUGCUAGCCUCUCUAAUACCACGCACUUUUUGCCGGUAUCAUACACCCACCAUACACCUUCCUCAAAACAGCCACCAUACCUACCUACCAUGGCAUUUCCAUAGGCAUUCUGAGAUAUAUUGCCAUGCAACUUACCACCGUUUCGUUUGCCAUGACACGCUUCAUCAUUGUCAUAUUGCUUGCAUGAUCAUGUAGUUGACAUCGUAUUUGUGGAAAAGCCACCGUUCAUAAUUCUUUCAUACAUGUCACCAUGAAUCAUUGCACAUCCCGGUACACCGCCGGAGGCAUUCUCAUAGAGUCAUAUUUUGUUCUAAGUAUCGAGUUGUAAUUCUUGAGUUGUAAGUAAAUAAAAGUGUGAUGAUCAUCAUUAUUAGAGCAUUGUCCCAUGUGAGGAAAGGAUGAUGGAGACUAUGAUUCCCCCACAAGUCGGGAUGAGACUCCGGAUGAAAAAAGGAGAAGGCCCAAAAAAGAGAGAGAAAAAGAGAGAAGGAACAAUGCUACUAUCCUUUUUCCACACUUGUGCUUCAAAGUAGCACCAUGAUCUUCAUGAUAGAGAGUCUCCUAUGAUAUCACUUCCAUAUACUAGUGAGAACUUUUCAUUAUAGAACUUGGCUUGUAUAUUCCAAUGAUGGGCUUCCUCAAAAUACCCUAGGUCUUCAUGAGCAAGCGAGUUGGAUGCACACCCACUUAGUUUCUUUUGUUGAGCUUUCAUAUACUUUUAGCUCUAGUGCAUCAGUUGCAUGGCAAUCCCUUCUCACUCACAUUGAUAUCUAUUGAUGGGCAUCUCCAUAGCCCAUUGAUACGCCUAGUUGAUGUGAGACUAUCUUCCCAUUUUUGUCUUCUCCACAACCACCAUUCUACUCCACAUAUAUUGCUAUGUACAUGGCUCACGCUCAUGUAUUGCAUGAAGAUUUAAAAAGUUUGAGAACAUCAAAAGUAUGAAACAAUUGCUUGGCUUGUCUUCGGGGUUGUGCAUGAUUUAAAUACUUUCUAUGGUGAAGAUAGAGCAUAGCCAACUAUAUGAUUUUGUAGGGAUAACUUUCUUUGGCCAUGUUAUUUUGAGAAUACAUAAUUUCUUAGUUAGUAUGCUUGAAGUAUUAUUAUUUUUAUGUCAAUAUUAAAAUUUUGUCUCGAAUCUUUCAAAUCUGAAUAGUCAUACCACAAAUAAGAGAAUUACAUUGAAAAUUAUGCUAAGUAGCAUUCCACAUCAAAAAUUCUGUUUUUAUCAUUUACCUACUCGAGGACGAGCAGGAAUUAAGCUUAGGAAUGCUUGAUACGUCUCCAACGUAUCUAUAAUUUUUUAUUGUUCCAUGCUAUAUUAUAUUCUGUUUUGGAUGUUUAAUGGGCUUUAUUAUACACUUUUAUAUUAUUUUUGGGACUAACCUAUUAACCGGAGGCCCAACCCAAAUUGCUGUUUUUUUUGCCUAUUUCAGUGUUUCGCAGAAAAGGAAUAUCAAACGAAGUACAAACGGAAUGAAACCUUUGGGAACGUGAUUUUCUCAACAAACGUGAUCCAGGAGACUUGGAGUGGGCGUCAAGAAACAAUCGAGGAGGCCAUGAGGCAGGGGGCGCGCCUACCCCCUAGGCACGCCCUCCACCCUCGUGGGCCCCUCGUUGCUCCACCGACCUACUUCUUCCUCCUAUAUAAGUCCACGUACCCCGCAAACAUCCAGGAGGACCACGAAAACCUAAUUCCACUGCUGCAACCUUCUGUACCCGAGAGAUCCCAUCUUGGGGCCUUUUCCGGAGCUCCGCCGGAGCGGGCAUUGAUUACGGAGGGCCUCUACAUCAACUCCAUAGCCUCUCCAGUGAUGUGUGAGUAGUUUACUUCAGACCUUCGGGUCCAUAGCUAGUAGCUAGAUGGCUUCUUCUCUCUCUUUGGAUCUCAAUACAAAGUUCUCCUCGAUCUUCUUGGAGAUCUAUUCGAUGUAAUCUUCUUUUGCGGUGUGUUUGUCGAGAUCCGAUGAAUUGUGGGUUUAUGAUCAAGUUUAUCUAUGAACAAUAUUUGAAUCUGCUCUGAAUUCUUUUAUGUAUGAUUGGUUGUCUUUGCAAGUCUCUUCAAAUUAUCAGUUUCGUUUGGCCUACUAUAUUGAUCUUUCUUGCAAUGGGAGAAGUGCUUAGCUUUGGGUUCAAUCUUGCGGUGUCCUUUCCGAGUGAUAGCAGGGGAACGUAUUGUAUUGGUGCCAUCGAGGAUAAAAAGAUGGGGUUUAUAUCAUAUUGCAUGAGUUUAUACCUCUACAUCAUGUCAUCUUACUUAAAGCAUUACUCUGUUCUUAUGAACUUAAUACUCUUGAUGCAUGCUGGAUAGUGGUCGAUGUGUGGAGUAAUAGUAGUAGAUGCAGAAACGUUUCGGUCUACUUGUCACGGACGUGAUGCCUAUAUACAUGAUCAUACCUAGAUAUUCUCAUAACUAUGCUCAAUUCUAUCAAUUGCUCGGUAGUAAUUUGUUUACCCACCGUAAUACUUAUGCUCUUGAGAGAAGCCACUUGUGAAACCUAUGGCCCUCGGGUCUAUCUUCCAUCAUAUUAAUCUUCCAACACUUAGCUAUUUCUAUUGCCGUUUAUUUUACUUUGCAUCUUUAUUUCUCUUUAUCAUAAAAAUACCAAAAAUAUUAUCUUAUCAUAUCUAUCAGAGCUCACUCUCGUAAGUGACCGUGAAGGGAUUAACAACCCCUUUAUCGCGUUGGUUGUGAGGUUCUUAUUUGUUUGUGUAGGUGCGUGGGACUCGAGCAUGAUCUCCUACUGGAUUGAUACCUUGGUUCUCAAAAACUGAGGGGAAAUACUUACGCUACUUUACUGCAUCACCCUUUCCUCUUCAAGGGAAAACCAAUGCAGUGCUCAAGAGGUAGCAGAGAGUCGCUCUCCUCCUCCUCCUCAUCCGCGUCGUCUUCGGCGGUGGGGGAAUGGGCCUUGUCUUCGGACACCGCAUCCGAAGUGCCCUUUUGGCGGGGGUCACUCCGGACCCCCUUGGCCUUUCCUGUGGCCUUCUUCUCUGGUGCCUUGUAAGGCACCGGCUCCAGCAUCUUCGCUAAACGCGGAGUGACUGGCUCUUCGGGCAGGGGAGUCGGACACUGAGUCUUCUUUGCCUGCUUCAACUAGUACUGAAAAAGCAAUGGUAAUGAAAGCAUCAGAUAUCACCCUUGAAACAAGCAAGUAAGGGAUGUGUUAAAUAUAACAUACCUCGUUGGGGAGGUGAUUUAUAUCAUGGCCGCAAUCCAAAUCGGUGGCCAGCAGUAUCUUGUUGCCCUUGAAAAGCAACUUCCAGGCAUCUUAAUGUGCCGUUUCGAAGAGCCUCACCAAGGUAUGGUGUUUCUUCGGGUUGAAGUCCCAUAGAGGACGGCUUCGGCUCUGGCAGGAGAGGAUACGGCGCACCAGCAUCACUUGGAUUAUGUCGAUGAGCUUGAUAUCCCUAUCGAUCAUGCUUUGGAUGCGUGUUUGAAGCACAAUCAGCUCGUCCGACAAACACCCGUUUGGGCUCUUCUCGACCCAAGAGGUGAGCCGCACGGGAGCGCCGGAGUUGAAUUCGGUAGCUGCGGCCCAAGUGGUAUCACGGGGUUCGAUGAUGUAGAACCAUUGCUUCUGCAAUUCCUUGAUAGAUUCCACGAAUGUGCCUUUUGGCCAAGAAACAUUGGUGAGCGUGCUCACCAUUGCGCCCCUGCACUCUGCGUGCUGUCCGUCCACCACCUUGGGCUUCACGUUGAAGGUUUUGAGCCAUAACCCGAAGUGGGGGUGGAUGCGGAGGAAAGUCUCGCACACGAUGAUGAACGCCCGGAUAUUGAGGAAGGAGUUCGGGGAUGGAUCGUGAAAUCUAUCCCGUAGUAGAACAUAAUCCCGCGGGCGAAGGGGUGGAGUGGAAACCCUAGCCCGCGGAGGAAGUGGGGGAUGAACACUACCCUCUCGUUGGGCUUCGGUGUGGGGACGAUCUGUCCCCAGGCUGGAAGACAGUGGGCGAUUUCCUCGCUAGGUACCCAGCCGCCCGAAGCUUGGCGACAUUCUCCUCCUUAACGCAGGAGGCCAUCCACAUGCCUUGACCUCCGGAUCCAGACAUGGUUGAGUGCUUUUUCGAGACAAGGGGAAUGAUAACUUGGGCGCUGGAGCUCAAGGACGGAGAGGCAGGAGGAAAGCGUGGGGGAAGAAGGAGGAAUCUUAUCUCCUUAUAAGGGCGGUGAAUAUCGAACGCCCCCCAUUCGCCUUAAAAUUCGCCUGCUCCCAAGGGCUGUGUACACGGCACGGUUGGGUUACCCACACCCGUAUUGAUGGGAAUCCCGUGAAAAGGGGACACAAUCUCUUCUUUGACAAGACAUGCCAAUGACAACCGCGUCUCGAAACGUGGGGUGAAAAAUGGUUCGAAAUUAUGACCGGACAGGCGUGACGUCACAUUACUAAAGUUGUCAGCACAUGGGACUCGUGUGUUAUUAUAUUCUCUCUAUGGUUGUGUGCGAUGUGUUUUACAGGUCCAGACACGUUUGUUUCAUCCGAAGACUAUUUUUGGAGUUCGGAAGGAGGAACCCGCCUUGCAAUGCCGAAGACAGCACUACGCGCCGGAUACCUUGUCAUUGAAGCCUAGUUCAGGGGCUACUGUGGGGUCCUAGACUAAGGGGUUCUCGGACGUCCGACCUGUUGUCUAUGGGCCGGACUGAUGGGCUGUGAAGAUACGAAGACCAAAGACUACACCCGUGUCCAGAUAGGACUCUCCUUGGUGUGGAAGGCAAGCUUGGCUAACAACUAUGAAGAUUCCAUCUUAUGUAACCGACUCUAUGUAACCCUAGAUCCCCCCGGUGUCUAUAUAAACCGGAGGGUGUAGUCCGAAUAGGGGAUACUCAAUACCGUAGUCAUACAGACUAGACUUCUAGGGUUUAGCUAUUACGAUCUUGUGGUAGAUCAACUCUUGUAACACUCAUAUUCAUCAAGAUCAAUCAAGCAGGAAGUAGGGUAUUACCUCCAUAGAGAGGGCCUGAACCUGGGUAAACACGUGUCCCCUGUCUCCUAUUACCAUCAACCUUAGAUGCACAGUUCUGGACCCCCUACCCGAGAUCCGCAGGUUUUGACACCGGCAAUGUUCCCAAGUUUUAAGUCCAUAGAGCCACUCCAAAAGAAAUCCAAAUCCAAAGAAAUCCAAAAGAAAAGAAAAGGGCCAAAAAUUGGGGUGUUACACCUUUAUAGGGCGGAAUCACAUCAGAGAUAUCAACUCUUAUAUUGUGAGUGUAUGGAAAUAGUUGUGGAAAAUGUCCAAUGGUGUGAACAUUUCGCAUCGUUCCGAGUCCUUAACGGUGUGCGCCGACAUUCAGAUCAUUGUCUAGUUAUUUCGUGGACGGAAGGGGAGAGGAGCCAUAGCCGUGGCAGACCUUGUGGAUUUUGAUUCGAGGCAUGAUGGCUAGCAAAAGAGGUGCGCAAUGACAUUGUAACUAAGGCCUAGGAGGAAAGUUGGGAGGUUGAUGGGGGUAGCACAGGCACCUAGGGGUGUGACGGGAUAGUUGAAGAGGUGGGACAUGGAGGUAGUGGUGGUCUCAAAGGUCCAUUGAAGAAGCCUAGGAAUGACUAUUCAUAGUCACUUUCUCAUCUCAUGUAAAAAAGUGUGUAUGCGAGAGCAAUAAAGGUCAAAUACAUAUUUUUUCGAGCAACCUCUAUUGGAUUCUUCAUACCACCCAUGAAGUAGUAUGCCAUCAGCUUUGGGUUCUUUAUUAUUUCCUUUAAGGGAUUUUGUAUCAUUCAAGGAAUAUUAGGUCUAUUUUGGCUUUUACUAUCUAUUUUUCUUAGGGAGAUGGUAAGGAUGUCAGAAGAUAGAGCAGAAUGGCAGGCUCGAAGUUACUGAAUACUUCUAUGUGGAAUGCCCAUUAUAUGAGCAUUCUCUCAAACUUCCACGUUCUUGGGCAUGCGAUUUUGAGAUCGUCGUGUCUACCGUUUCACCAUCAAGGCAUCUUGAAAAGGUGUUAGAGAAAAGGUGCAUGGGGAGUAAAGGCUAAGGUGUGAAGAGAACAAAUUAGAAGACAUGAAGUGCACCAAGUCGUGGCGGUGAGCGCAUGUUUGGUGGUUCCAUGAUGGUGAUAGUAAUACCCAUUAUUUUUAUAUGGUGGGUUCAACAAGAAAGGAAAACAGGGUGAAGAAGUUAGUAAAGGAGAAUGGAUGGGAGGUAGUAGAGUAAGAUGAUUUAAGUAACCAUGUCUGCUCACUUUUCAGGAAAUUUUCGCUUCCACCAUGGGUGAUCACGUGGAGGAACUCAUAAAUUGCAUCGAGGCGUGCAUCACUAGAAAUAUGAAUGACAUACUCACUUCAUAAUUACAAGGGAAAGUCAAGGCUUCCGUUCUGGAUGGCAUGCCAACUAUUGUGUACAAAAUGCACCUCAUGGGAUAUAAAUUGUCGAUGAAGUUAUCAAUGUGCUAAAUGGAGGGUAGCUUCCAAACGGUUGGAAUAGUACGAUGGUGGUUUUCAUUCCUAGUGUGAAAGAUUCAUCCUGCAUCAAGGACCUAUGACCGAUUAUCCUCUGGAAUGUUCUUUACUAACUUGUAAACAAGGUCCUAGCAAAUACUCUGAAAGUUGUUCCAGAUAUUAUAUUUAACAACUAAUGUGCCUUUGUGUUAGGCAGAUUGAUCUCGAACAAUGUCCUGAUAACCUAUGAAAUACCACACUACUCAACGAACAUGAAGGGAGGGAAAGAAGGAAUUGUUGGAGUGAAAGCUUAUAUGAGCAAGGUGUAUCAUCAUGUUGAGUGGAAUUGUUUGGAAGCCAUGAUGUGGAAGAUGGGGUUUAGGAGAGAAUAGGUGACCAACAUUAUUAAGCGUGUGUUGUCAGUUCGAUAUUCAGUCAGGAUCAACAACAAUGUUACACAACAGUUCAUACCCCCUAGAGGUUUGCACCAGGGAGACUGCCUACCUCCAUACUUGUUUGUAUUUGAACAAAGGGACCUUCAUCUCUUAUACAUGAUGUUGAACCAAGAGGGAAGAUUCAUGACCUGAAAGUCUACCCAAGGGCACCCCAUAGUCUCUCAUAUAUUCUUCUGAGAUGACUUGGUUUUGUUACUGAGAGCAAAAGGAGAGGAAGCAAUGGCGUUGAAGGAAAUUAUUUCCCUAUAUAAAGUUUUUCUGUAAAUGAAUCGACCUGGGGAAAUCUGCAUUGUUCUUUAGCACGAAUACAACAGAACUAAUGAAAAACUUGGGUGAAGUGUGAGUUAUCCAUCAGAGUGAGAUGUGGAAUGAUAAGUUUCUAUGAUUACGGUGUACAUUGGCAUAUAAAAAAGAAGGCGUUCACAUAUAUUAAACACAAAAUUUGGGCAUCCAUACAUGGUUAGAUGGAGAAAUUUCUAUCAAAGGCAGGGAAGGAGGUCUUAGUGAAGGCGGUUGCUGAGGCGAUUCCCACCUAUGCCAUGUAUUUUUUUGACAAAGGGUUUUUGCGAUGAGAUUGGUGCUAUGAUUGGUACAUUCUGGUGGAGUCAAAUGGAGAAAGAAAUUAAGCACCAUACAUUGGACAGAUCGGCAGAAGUUAACAAAGCCCAAGUCAAUGGGAUGACUAGGAUUUAGAGACAUACACAACUUCAAUACACAAAUUCUCUCUCGGCAAGUAUGGCGUCUGAUUCAGAGCCUUGAAAGCAUUUGUGUAAUGGUGCUCAGGGUAAAAAAAUUGUGGGGAAAAAAUAUACUAGAAGUUCAACCUUGUGACGAUAUAUCAUACUCAUGGAGGAGCAUUCUCCACGAUCUUGAUCCGAUAAAAGAAGGUUAUAUCUGGUGUAUAUGGAUGGAGAAACGGUGAAGAUCAUGUUGGAUACCUGGAUCCCGAGAGCUUUGUCCGGAAUAUUGGUUACACAGAGGGAAGGUAGUCUAUUCACUCGAGUUUGUGAUCUUAUGUGACCCAUCACCGACAAAUGGGAUGAUCAUCUUGUGAACGAUACGUUUUGGUUGGACGAUGGGAGACUCAUACUCCAUAUUCUGAUCAAGAAAGGCAUUGAUGACUUAGUUGGCCUGAUAGUAUGAUAGCAAAGGAGGUCCAGGAUUGGGACUAUGAUAGCAAAGGCGGUAAGGAGUGCGGACAAGCUCCAAGUUGAGAUCGAGCAGUAGAGGAAAGGAGGUUGCACUAACACAAGCCAUACCAUGAAAAGCAACUACUACAGAUAUUCCCACCUAAUCUUAAUGUCUGGUGAACAUAGUUCUUGGGCCCCGAAGAACAAGGAUUUGCAAUGAGCAACAAGUAUUAUCCUUGGUUAGAGCAUCUCUAGCAGAUGAUGCAAAAUAGGACAAGUGACCAAAUCACCUUUUUAGAACAUUUAGACCCAAAAAUGGUGCUCUAGUAGAUGCCCCAUCUCUAUCUGGUGCUGCAAAAAGUUGGGGCAUCCUCAUAUUUGCCCCCAAGUGCUGCAAAUACCCAACAACCGGGCCAUUGCCGCAAAAUAAAAUUUCCUGCCAGCCCAACCGCCACCAGGCAUGACUGUCGCACCACCUCUCUCCCGCCCGCGACCGCUGGCACCACCGGGCUGCCAUGGAAGGCACCUCCGAUGCGACCGUCGACUCAGCCAUCCUCAUCACCGCUCACAUGACGCCCGCAACUCCACCUCUGGUAGUUCUCGCAAGGCUGCAACCACCACCAAGACGAAGACGCAUGAUGCACGGUGCCAAGUUUGUGCUGCCUCACGAGUCAUCGCUGCUGCCAGAGGGGAUGUGCCGGGCUACACCAUCGCUCCCAAGACCAAGCCCCCCACCCCGAAAGCCGUGAUGCAGCAUUGUCGGGAAGAGUUUGCCGCGGGAUCCUGCAUUGGCUGACUCAUGCUUGAGAAAGUCGAGGGUCGCGGCGACGGAUGAUUUGGCUGCUCCGGUGGUGCCCUCACCCUCCCGUACUUCUUUCUCACCAUCUUCUAUGGAGGAGGAGCCAGAUUCACCCGUCGUCAUGACCACCAGGGUACAUAACAUGCUCAAGGGAAAGUCACGAAGGUACACAAUUAUGUUUUCUCUUGUUUUUCCUAUCUUUGUCACAAAUUCUACCUUGUGAAUGCAACUGUGAUAUGAUUUGUGUCUAUGUUAUUCAAUUUUGUAGUAUUUAGUGUCGAUGAUGAAAUUUUUUGUAAUACACGAAAGUUGCAUCUUAAGAUUUUGUCUCUCAAGAAAUCCACUAUCAAUAAUAUGAAUAUGAUAUGUCCAAUCUAGACAUGGACGAGGAGAGUUUUUGAUUCAAUACCAAAGGGAAGAGCUACAAUAGAUGAAGACAAGUUGCCAUUAUUUUUUAGCAGACAUGUUUUUAAUUUGUGAACAAACUUUGAAAACGAGAACAUUUUAUGCAACUCCAAAAUUUAUCUGAAAACACAAACAUUUUUUAGAAAAUCUGAAACAUUUUUACGGAAACAUUAACAUUUUCUGGAAUUCCAAAAAAAAAAUUCCUGAACAUUUUUUAAAAAGGGGACAUUUGCAAAUAGAAAAGGAAAAUAAAAAGUAAAGUAAAGAAAACCGGUUGAACAAACACCGGGAAAAAAAUGAAAAACUAAAUAGACAUGAACCAUUCAGGAACCUUUUAGAAGGUUCCCAAACCCGAAACCAACAUCCAAUGCUCCUAGCGUUAAAAUGGGUCGGUCCAGCCCAGUCGCGGCGUGCGGACUAAUUGACGCAGUAUGCAUCAUAUAGAAUGUCUGACUGGAGACCUCCUAUUUGAGGUCAAAUAGCCGAGGCCACGCCUGAAGCGAGGCGCAACGCCUGAAGUGAGGCACAUGUUGGCCAUCCCACUUAGGCGAUCUCACUUGAAUGGUUUAUUUUCUUAUUUUUCAUCUUGGGCUUUGUAGUCAAUUUUGCUUCCAGAUAAAUAACUUUUGGAUCUUUUAAGUAUCUAAAUAAUUAAUAACCUAUUAGAAAUGCAUUAUUACAAUAUAGUCUUAAAAAUUUUAAUAUUUAUUACAAAAUGUUGAUCAUGUAAUAAAAAGUUUAUGAUACACAAAGAAAAAGUUCACCGCAUAUAAAAAAUGUUUACCAUUCAGCAAAAAAAUGUCAUGUGCUAGAAAAUGUUUAUUGUAUAUCAGAAAACAUGUUUAAAGUAGGAAACAUGACGAAACAGAUGAGAAACCAAACCUAGAAGGAAAAAAAUAAAAAAAC